Molecule: long non-coding RNA, 71024 nt
Filed under: Citrus maxima (pomelo)
Lineage: Eukaryota; Viridiplantae; Streptophyta; Magnoliopsida; Sapindales; Rutaceae
Description: long non-coding RNA (CMAX_LNC003344)
Source: RNAcentral
CUCACUUCUAAAUGUUAUUAAAGAAAGCCGCGAAUUUUUGCCUUAUUGAUCCUGUCUUCUCCAAAAUGUUGCAGAAGCUGCACCUCCACUCGGGAGGUUGUUAUCAAUUUAUCACUCUGCUUUCGUGGAGGGAGUUCAAACGGACUUCAAGAUUGAACCAUCGUUUGGAGUUGAAGCCUCGCAGCUUUAUCCUGAUGUCAAGUACACUACAGUUGAUGAGUACCUCAAUCAGUUUGUGUAACCCUUCUCUGCUUCCAGCUGCAGCUUGCAGGAUCUUGGACUCUGGGUAAAUAAAUAAUGGGCUUGUUGCAAUCUUUGGUUUUUAUAUGUAAAAAUUAUGGUUGUUGGCCUUACUUUCUUCUGGUUGUCAAUGGAAUUUGUAAGACCAUUUUAUGUUUGCUAUGUCAGUGAUCAAAUGAAGUAGGCCAUGUACUUGAUCUGAGAAUAAUUAUAAAGCCAACAUGGUCAGGUGAGUGCGUCUGUGGGGCUUUUAUUAGGGUGCGUGUGUGAGGCUUCUGAGGGGCUUGUGAUAUGGGGUCUACAGCCCCUAAUGGGCACGCGACUGCGUGCACUAAAUGAAGUUAUUAUAAAAAUAAUUAUAGAGUCACCAAGGCAAAAAUUAAAAGUAAUUUGCCAAUAAAAAUAGUUAAAAGUAAUAAAAAGUAGGUAUUAUAUUUCAAAAAUCAAUUUUUCAUUAAUGUUUAUAAGAUUAAAUUUGUUCUUAUCUUUCCUUAAUAAACACAAAAAUUUAUCGUUUUGGACUAAUUAAAAUUUUAAAACUAGCUAACAAGCAAACCGCCAUUAAUUUUUUUUUUUCCAUUUCUUUAAUCAUUCUUUUUUCUCUUUUUGACCUUUUUCUUUUUCUUUUCUUCAGUCCUUAUUUUUCUUUUCUUUUUUGGUUUUCCUCUAAACUCUUUAAGAAAGGCUGCCAAGCCUUGAAAAUAUCUCAAAAAAUAAGAUUUUCUUUCUUAAGAUUAACAUUUUAACCACAAAAAUAAAACUCUAGUCCAAACAUUGAGCACUUACAAAUCAAACGAUAAAAACCUCUUAUUAGUACAUUAACCGUAAAAUAAAAAAGAAUUAUCACAAAUAUUGAAAUGUUGUUGUUUGAUGCUUGAGAUUCUUGAAAUGUAUGCAGAAUUCCGACAAUAUUUUGUUGAAGCAACUCUCGGAAACUUGUUUGUUGAGAUUGAUGAAGAGUCCAUGGCAAGUAACCAGGCAUAUUGCAAUCCUUGUAAUUAUUCUGACCGAGAACAAUAAAACAAAAAGUGAAAACUGAAGAAAAUGAUAAGAAAACAAUAGAAUAAUAAUAUUAAAAACUCGCUAAUCUUGCCCAAUUUUUUUUUUUUUUGGAUAAUGUUCAGCGUAUACUAGAAUCUUUUAGAGCAGAAGCAAAACAGCAACAACUUUUCAAGAAAAGAAAAAAAAAAAGAAUUAUUAAAGAAAAUGGAAAAAAGAAUUAACGGCAGUUUAUUUGAUAGCUUUUAGAUAGCCAAAACCGGUGAGUUUUUGUGUUUUAAUAAGGAUAGUUAGGAAUAAAUUUAAUCCUCUCUAUAGAAUCAUUUAGUUACUAUGUGUCAAAAUCUCCUGUAAAGAAUAGGAAAAAUUAAAUUAGAAGAGGAUCCAAAUCAGGACUUGACUAGCUUACAGAAUCUGUAAGCUACGGACUGCAGCAUCAGCCGUUGGAUGUGGUUGGAUGUGGAGUGAGAAAUUAAACAAUAGAAGAUCGGAUGGUGGGAUGACGGGAGAUGUUUGUUACAGAAUCUGUACCAUAGACAGGUCCUCCAAAUCAUCAACAUCUUGGAAUAAACAAAAGAAUCUAAACAAAAGAAACUCGUUUUGCGUGUGAACCAGUUCAAGAUAAAGAGCAGACUAUUGGAAAGAGACAAAUACUACAAGAAUAACAAAACAUUCUACAGUUACUACAUAAGCCUGCAACAAUUAAUUAUUAACUCAAGAUUUAUUACACUUUUUCUUUAAUUUGACAAAGAAACCAAAAAUGAAAUAAAAUUGACAACAGCAAUGAUAUGCUUACAACAAUGAGUAUGAAACUUAGUACAACAAGGACCUUUUUGCUAAUUUUUUCAAAUUUUUAUGAUAUUUUAGAAUUUAUGGGUUUUAUUGAUUUUGAUAAAUUGGAGCAUUUCUCCAUUCAUCUUUUCUGCAUCUAUCCCUAAAUUUCUUAUCUUUGUAAAGUUUUAACUAUGUCUUUGUAAAGUUCUAAAUGAUUAUCUCGUUCAUAGAGAUCUAUAGUUAAAUUAAUUCUUGUAUUUAUAAUCAUUUGUCUCCUUUGAGACAUAGACCAAAUUUUUUCUUCUAACAUUCCUAUGUAUAUUCCUAAGCUAUAUUUCCAGCUUAGGUACAUCUUAUCUAGGAUUUCACAAAUAAAUUGUAAUUUGAGAUCUGCAUCUUGAAUCAACAUCACCAUAUUAUUAUUAUUAUUAUUAUUAUUAUUAUUAUCCAUUGUUUUAUACUCGAUUUUGGGUUCUAUUACUAGUCGCACUUGUCUUGGAUUAUUUCAAGGCUAGAUAGAAUUGAUUCUAUUAAUGCUAUCCUGUUUCCUUCUUCAAAUGAAUCGAAUAUUUUUGGAUCAAUAAUUCUUUUCAUUUCUUCAUACAAGUGUUUGCUUGUAAUUAAUCUAGUUUUAACUAUGGAAAUUGUAUAAGCAACUUGAUAUUCUUGACUAAAGUCUAGAUGAUCAAUUGCGUCUAGAAAUUUAUUAACAGAUCUUUCCAUUUUUAUGAAAUUGAGUUACUUUUAUCACUUCCUAUCUUAUAACAUUUCAGAAUACAAACAAGGCCCAACAUGCUUCCAUUUGUUGCUAAAAUAAAAGAAUAGAGUUCAAGAUUACUAACCAGUGUACAUUUCUCGGAAUUCUAAGAUAGAUUCACUAAUUGCCUCCAACCAUAGAGAGGUCUAUGGUUAACUCCGCCAUAGCUCCACACAUCAUAUAAGAUCACUUCAACGACUGUUACAUAGGCCCAACGCAACAUAUAGCAAACGGGCCUAAAAGAAUAUGUCUAAGUGAUUUGCUUACAGCUGUCUCUGGAAGAGUGCUUAGUAGUAGAAAAUCUUCUUCCUUUAGCACAAGUAUUGGCAUGUAAGGUUCUUGGUUAUUUUCUAAGAGUAUAUAAGAUAUCUGGAAGAUGACAAUUUCGCUCAAAAGAGUUUUAUUUAUUUCAUCAUUGAAAUUAUUUACAGAGGAUGGUUACAGAGAAUACAGGUGUAGGUGUAGGUGUAGGUGUAGGUGUAGGUGUAGGUGAAGGUUAGGCAUGUGAUGUCCUUCCCUUCUUACAUGUUUCUAUUUAUAAUCUUAAAUAGAUAAGGUUAUCUCUUUUACAUGACACUUGUUUAAUUCUCUUGGUGGAUUGUGGAUUCUUUCCUGAUAAGGUGACCCUUCUUCUUUUUAUCAUUAAAGACAGUGGUUGUCUUCUUUUCCUGGUGGUAGACAGCCUUUAUCUGGUUGUAGUGUGCUUUAUCUUUUUGGAAUCUUUCUUUUUGAAUUAUUAAUGCUUUUAGGAUAGCACCUUUUAUCUUUUCCAAUGGUUCCUGUCACAUGCCAAGUAUCAAAUCUUCCUCUAGUGACAUGUCUUCCCCACUAGAAUCCUUUUUUGAUCCUUCGUAGCAGUAGCCACAUGAUGACUGAUGUUUUAGCACCUUGCAUACCUCGUGAUGUGUCAGUAAGCUGGAUUCCACGAGAUUUUCAUAUAUUGCCUUUUUCUUUUUUGAUAUGGCCUGUCUGGCUAAAAUGCUUUCUUUUCUACUUAUAGAAAAGAUUAUAUGCUCCUUUGUGGCUUCGUGGAGCCAUAUUUUUUCCUCACUUAUCCUCUCAAGAGAUUCAUAGAGGACUUUCAUUCCUACGGCUCUUUUGCUGGUGAGAGCUUUGGGUUCGAAAAAUUCAGGAUCAUAAUCAUUAUAGACUUGAUCUAUAUCAAUAGUUGGACUAACUUUUUGCUGCUAAUUCUAACUUAAAUCAUGUGCUGUGCUACCACUUGUUUUCACCGUAUUAAGGGCAAGCAGUGAGGAUCUUGAUAAAAAUUAGUUCUUUUGUUUUGGAUAUCCUUUUGUGGUCAUUAACAGCCUCUGUAUUUUUUUCUAGGAGCUCUUUUAUUUUCCUACAAUCAUCACGGACAUAAACAAGGUUAAGAAAACCGUAUUCAAACAUGUCUUUUAUCAAUUUUGGAUAAGCUCCUAGCACAAAUUUUAUCCUUGGGUAUAACCCUGAAUGAUAUGGUAUUAUAGUCUGGUUAUGAUGAAUCACAUAAGUUAUUUUACCAAUUCUUUUAUAAUUAUAAGCGUUGUCGCUUCCUAAUGGAUUUUUAACCAUAGGAACAGACUGUCCGCUUUUAUUAUAUUGGGGCCUUAAGCUCACUGAAGACCUUUGAGAUUCUUCUUUCUUCAUAUAUUAUUCUUUGAGAUCAUUGAUUGUGAGAAAUUUCUCUAGAUGUGUGACCUUUGAGUUCUGUGAAGAACUCUGGGCAAUCUGAUCCUUAGUUUGAUCCUUAAAAUGGACCUUUUUUUAGCAUAUUACUAAUAGAUUGUUAUGAAAUUUGGACUUCUGGAUGAUUUUGCAAACUUUUCUAUAGGCAAAGUUUGCUCAAUUCUUCAUGGGCAUCAUCUAUCAUGGCAAGCCUAUUAUAAAUUAUACCAUUGCCUUUGAGAAGCAAUUCUUGACCUUCAGAGCACAUUAUUAUGCCCUUAAUUAUUUUGGAAAGACCCUUCUCCAUUGUAUUCUCGGCUAAGAAAAUUUGCAAUAGAAUUGUUAGAUCCUUUAAUAUAUUCAAUUUCAAAAUCAUAUUCAGCAAAAAAACCGUUGCCAUUUAAUUAAUCUUUUAUAUUAAGGGAGAUUAGGCAAUUUAUUAAAUAUAAAUCCUUUAACUCGAGUGUUAUCAGAUCUUACCUUGAAUUUCUUUGGUAACAAAAAAAAGUAAAUUUAGCUAUUCCAUUUUUAAUAGUUAACAGUUCAUUUUCAUUACUAUGAUAAUUCUUCUAUGCGGGUUUGAAUGUUCUGGUGGCAUAUCUACAAAUCUUUUCUUGAUCUGUUUUUAAGACUACACCCCAGUAAUUAUCUGAAGCAUCGGUCUCAAGAAUUAAAUUAUCACUAGAAGUAGGGAAUCCUAAUCUUGGAAGAUUUUUACAUUUUUCUUUCGAUUUUUUUACUACUUUGGUAUGGAGAUCUUUCCAUGAUUUAGUAUUAUUCUUUUUUAAUAAUCCUUGUAAAGAUUGUCUUUCUUUAGCUAAGUUUUCUAUGAAACCUUCAGCAUAAUUAAGAUAUCCUAAAAAUAUUUGAAUUUGUUCUUUAGAUUCUAAUUUAUUUGGGAAUAGAUAUAUUUUCCAAAAAUAUGAGGUUGCAUCUCAAUUCCUGUUUCAUCUAUUAUUAACCCUAGAAAUUCUAUCUUGAGUUUCAUUAUUUCAGCUUUCUUUUUAGGGAGUAAUAUUCCAUGUUUCUUGCAUUUCUCUGCAAAAGAAACGAGAUGAUUAAUAAGAUAUAUCUUAUUAUCUGAAAAUAUAAAAAUAUCAUCUAAAUAAACAAUGUAGAAUUCAUGAAAUUCUUUGAAGAUUUGAUCCAUCCUUCUUUCAAAUAUUUUUGGUGCAUUUUUCAAUCCAAAAGGCAUUACAAUCCAUUCAUAUUAUCCUUGAGGUGUACUAAAGGCAGUAAGUGGUAUACUUUCUACUUUAAGUUUGAUAUGUCAAAAUCCAGAUUUGCAAUCAAACUUGCUAAAUGUCUUUUUAUCGGUCACGGAGAUAAUUAAUGUAUCUUUAUAAGGUAAAAAAUAUCCAUUGAAUUUGGUAUAUUUAUUUAAUUCUUUGUAGUUAAUAACCAUGCGAGCUUUUCCUCAUUUAAUUUCUACAUGAUUUCUAACCAUAAAGGCUGGACUACUAUGAGGACUUUUAGAUUUCAAAUAAUCUUAAGUUCUAAUAACUCUUCAAUUUUUUUUAUCAAAUUCUUGUCCAUGUUCUUGCCCAUCUCUCAUAGGCUUAACUCUUAUGAUACCAUUUAGAUCUGUUAAUUCGAUCUUAGCAUAUGUUUAAUCAAUUUCUCAUAAUUGAAUUGGGUUUUCACCAAAAUUUUUAUCAAGUUUUUCUAAAAUUUUUUCAUAGUCUAACAUGAUUUGAAUGAUUUUUAUAGUGUAAUCAACACACUGACUGUGUCGAAAAUGUAAUUUUUGAGUUGUGCGCCUAACAAGGUUAUAAAUUCUCGGGGUAGUAAUGGAAUGAUUACAUGGUGUUUUGAGAGUAAUGGCUUCAUUAGUCAUUAUAUAAAUGAAUUGACGAAGGAAAUUAACUCCUAAAAGUAUAUAUGUUCCCAUAUGAUCAUAAGACCAGAAUAUAGGGAUACUUAAGAUGUAAUCUUCGAUUUGGAUUAAAGUCUUAAUCCUACAAGUCCCUAAGGUGAUCUGUUCAUCAUUUGUUCCUUAUCCUUUUAAAGGCUUAUAAUCUUUCCAAUAUGGUUUUGGAUAAAUCCUAGAACUGGCAAAACUAACUCCUAAACCAGUAUCGAUUAAAGCAUAAAACCAUUCCAGUUUAUGUUUAUAAUAUGGUAUAAUCACUUUUAUAUAAAUUAUAAAAGGAUUAGACAUAUCUUGAUAUGGUUUGCUUAAUUCCUUCAAUUGUUAUACUUAUUUCUCUAUCUCCUGUACAAUAAGGAGAGAAAUUCUAAAGAAAGUUCAUCCCUAAUAAUAAAGGAUUUAUUUCUGUUUCAUAAUAUGGUUCUAUGAAAAAAGGAAAGAUGAAUUUUGUUCCUUUUAUUUUUAAUGGUAUUUUACAAUAUUUUCUUAAUGUCUUUCUUUCUCUAUUAAAUCCUACAUAAGUAUGAGGUUCAAUUAGAAUUUUUCUUUCUAAAUAUUUAAUCAUUUUAGCAUCUACAUAAGAUUUUGUAGCUCAUGUAUCAAGGAUAGCAAAAGUCUCGUGCCAUGAUUUUCCAUUAUUAUAGUCAAUCUUAAUUUUUAGAUUUUGAUUAUUUUUUCUAAUUGUGGCUAAUAUUUCAUGUGAUGGUGGUGUCACAAGAUGACUACAUCUAGUAAAACUUUGGGUUCCUCUGAAUUUUGGUUCUCUUUUGGGUAUAGAGAAUGAUCUUUUAUGUCUUAUAAUGAUUCUUCCUUCUGGAGUAUAUUCUAUAGAUUUAGUAGUAUUUCCUUUAAUCAGAGUAGGUUGACUACUUAGAUUCAUUUUCCAUUCUUAUGAUAAAUAUAUUUCUCUCUGGAUUUCAGGAUAUUUUAUAUUUCUAACUUUACUAAAUAAUUUAUCUAUUUCAAUAAAAUAUUUAUUAGCAAACAUUUCACUAUUUGCUGAAUUUGUUAAUGCAUAUUUUAUGGCAUACAUUAUGCUAUAUGGAUAAGACCCCUCAUGCAUUAUAUCAAAGUAUUUAAAAUCAUGACAUAAGGUUAAUGUUUUAUUUAUAUUUCUAUCCCUAAGACUUAUAGAAUAUUUAGGAUAUAUCUUAAAUAUCAAUUUUUUAUAACUCAAGUUUCCUUGUAUUAUUCUAGGGACUGCAUGUUUUCGAUCUUGUAUUCUAUUAUCUAGUACUGCUAAAAUUAUUGGACUAUCUAUUCCUUCCCGAAAAUGAGCUUUUAUCAUAAACUGAAUUCCUCCAAUAUGAUCAUAUCCAAUUUUGGGUCUAUUGCUAGAUUUUAUCUUACUGAUUUUAUCUUCUAUAUCAGUCUUUAAUAAUAAUGGUAUAUUUGUAUUUCCCUUAGCAUACCUAAUUUCAAUAUGUUCUUCUCACACAGUAGCACUGAAAUACAUAACAUUUUUUCUUUUAAUCAUGGUGGCAAUUCCUAGAGCUAACUUAUUGACUGAAGUCAAGGAUGAUUCUAAUCAUUUUUUUGUUAAUCUUGAGGUAUUGUUUUUUUUUUUUAUCAAAGAUUAAUUCUUUGUUAAAAGAACCUUGUUCUUCUAAUUCUUCAUCUUGAUAUAAAUGCUUAUUAUCUAAUUCUUCUAUACUCAUUCCAAAUAUGAUUUUGAAUCUGAGCUACUUAAAGUUUCUUCAGAAAGAUAAUAUAUGCUAUCACUUUCACUAAUACCUUCACUAUCUGUGAUUAAUUCUAAAUCAUUAAAAUCCUCAAACAUUUUUAUAUUUUCUUUUUUCUUUUUAGGACAUUCAUUUGUAUAAUGCCCUUCUUCAUUACAUAACCACCACUUGCAUUCUUUAACUACAUUGGUUUUAAAUCUUCUUUUAAAUUUAUUUUUCUUGUAGAAUUUCUUCUUAUAUUUAUUUUUCUUGUAAUAUUUCUUGUUGCCUUUAAAGAAUCUCUUCUUUUUGAAUUUAUUCCUAUAUUUAUAAGUUUUAUCUGAACAUCCAAAUCUUGGUGGAUCUUCUAACUUAGAGCAAAACAAUCCUUGAUUUAGCCUUUUCAUAAGUCUGUUAUCUCUUAUUUCAGCACACCAUUCACUCAUUCUAUUUCGAGCAAACCUAAUCUUAUUUCCUAAGGUAUCAGUCUCUGUUGUAUCUUCAUAUUUGUUGUUAUAUUCUAGCAUAAUCCUUUUCUCCCAUGGGUCUGGUAUCCUUAUAAAAUAUAGAUCUUAGUAAUAGCAUAUGCUACUUUCAUCUAAUUCACAUUUAUAAUAUAAUUCUUCAAAGCUACACGUGUAUUCUUCUAAAUAACAUAUAUUACAUAUUUCAAGCCUUGUUAGUUUUAUUACAUUUUCCAUCUUUUUUUCACUUUAUUUCUUAUUGAAAACCAGUUUCUCAAUCUUCUCCUAGGAAUUUUUUUCUUAUUUCAUUUUCAAAUCUAUUUAAAACUUGAUCCAAGCUUUCAUUUUGAUUAUUAUUUUCUCCAUACAAUAUUUUAUUUUUGUUAUUAUCGUUUAGUCCCAUAAACGAAUGUGACACUAUUCCUACAAAUGAAGUUUUAAGGAAUUCUAUACUAUUAUUCCUAUCUAUUUUGUUAAAUACAAAUGCCGUUUUCAUAGAUUUAACCCAAGCGAUAAUCGUUUUAUCUCUAUCUUUGACAUAGUCUAAAUCUAACCAUACUCCAUCAUGGUUGAUUGGUCUCUCUCUAUAUUUUCCUGGAGUUUUAUAAUUUUUUUAGGCUUGUUAACCCUAAAAUAUUGAUGUUGUGAUCUUUCAUGAGCUAGUAUUUCUUCUCUAGUAUAGGAAGCUCUAUUACUAGAUUCUCCUUGUUAAAAAACCGUUGGUUUUGAUUCAUUCAUUUUUAAUUGUUCUAUUCUAUUUUCAAUAUCUCAUAAGUUAAUGAGUACAUCCUCUUCCUCUUCGGAUUUAGAUUCUUCAUUGGAUAUUUCUGGAUUGUAUAAUUCUUUUAAUCCAUUGUCUACAUUUUCACUUAGCAUCCUUAAACUUAUUAAUUUUUUAUCUUAGUUUUUUGUUAAAUAUUGUCUAGAUAUUGCUAUCAUUUCUUUAUCUUUCUUUUCGUUGUAGUAAAUUAUGGUGUCUUGUAAGGUUUUAUUUUUUUUUCUUGAAUUACCAUGAGUAAUUCUUCCAUAUUGUUAUUUAUCUUUUGUAUUUCAAUCCUUUUGUAGUUUUCUAUGAAAAAUUAUUUCUAUACACCUCUCUCCUAAUUCUAAAUAGGAGAAUAGGAUCGAUGUUUAAAUUUCUAUUCUUUAUUAUUUUGAGUUCUCCAAUUCUAAAUUCAUGAGCUCUAGAUAAAUAAAAUUGUUCUAAUUGUUUAUCAUCUAAUAUCUCAAGUUUUGAAUAAUAAUAUUGUUUAUGUUUAGUUAUGUUAUCCUUUAUAGUAUUACUAUCUACCAUUAGAUUAUAUCCCCUAUUAUUAAUAAAAUAAACAAUUGUUUCUUCCAUUUUUAUAUUUUGAACCAAAAAUCUGGUUCUGAUACCGUUUUUGCAGACAAUUUUCAAUCCUAAGAUCCAAGUAAGGAUGUAAAUGAUUAAUCUUUAAAAUCUUAUGAAUAUUUUACAAUUUUGCUUUUUUAAAACACACAGUUUUAUGCUAGGUGUUGUGCAAUCUUUUGUAAAAAUUCAUGAACCAAUACUAUAUUGACUUCUCCUAAAAUGCAUAGGUUUGUUAUGAAAUUCUAAGUGUACAACCCAAAAAGUGGGGUGAAUUGGGUUUUUAAAAAUUUAAGCAAUUAUAACCACACAAAAAUUUCAAUUAAUGUCUUAUUUGAUUCAAUAACAAUAAUUUUAACAAUGAAUAAAGUAAAGAGAUGAGGGAGAAGAGAGCAAACAUGAGAUUUUUACAUGGUUCAGCAAAACCUGCCUACGUUGACGCCUCCAAGCUCACUAUGCUUGAAGAUUUCACUAUCCAAGCAUUACAACCCUAAGGCUUCAAGAUGCUUACAAUUGAUUUCUAAGGUUUCCAUGGACCUUUACAUCCAGAGGUUCUCUCAAACCUCUUAACCAAGUGUUUCUCACACUUACAACCACUUAAUUGUGAUAUUGAAAAAAAGUUACACAAAUUUUCCACUCACACAAUAUAUGUGUUUACAACUAAAAGCCUAGAGUGUGUUUCAAUGAAAGAAUAAAAACAUUUAAGCUCAAGACAGAUUAAACAUGCAAAAGUAAGCUCAAUGCCAAUUUUUGAAUUCGUUAUUGAUUGAAUAUGAUUAAUCCUUUUGAUAGUUGGAGCUGAAAACUAGCCGUUAUUGACUUUCUGCACAAGGUCGGAUCAUCGUUAAUACUUAUCGGACUGCUGUUUUGACUUGAUCAAGUUACCGUUAGGCGAAAAUCUAAAUUUUCGGAUCACCAUUUUCGAGACAUUGAAUUGUUGUUAGUUUCUAGUAACAUUGCGAGAAAAUAGUUGGCUUACCGUUUUCAAAAUGUCAUAUCGUCGUUAGUUUCCAAAUCCAUUCGAUGUCGGUUAGCCAUUUGCUACAUUAACUGCUACAUUGAAACUAUUUUUUAAAAUUAUAUUUUUGCCAUGCUUUCUAUAAUUAUACUGUAGCCCAAAUCUUCAUAAUACUUUACAAAUAGGUCCAUUUUCAGAGUUUCAAAACAUACUUUUUAUUUCCAAAACUUUAUGAAAUUAUACUAUAACCCAAAAAUAUAUAAAAUAUUUCAAAUAGGUUCAUUUCUAGAAUUUUAAAACAAUACUUGUUGAUUUCAAAGUUCUCAAAACUUUUUAAAUUUAGAGCAUUAACUUCAAAAUAACCAAUUUCAUAAAAUCAUUUUUUUCAUUAAGAUUUAUGAAAAAUGACUUGAGCUUUUAAAUGCUUAAGCAUGCAUAUAUUUAAUCAUACUAGCUUUACAAGAAAUGUAACAAGAGAAAUCACCUAAGCUAGUACCUCUAAUGCUUGUUCUUGACUUAGUGAGCUUUUUACCUUCGUCUAUUUGAGUGCCUUGAACUUGAUCACACACACACACACACACACACACACACACACACACACACACAUAUAUAUAUAUAUAUAUAUAUAUAUAUAUAUAUAUAUAUAUAUCAUUUUAUCCUUUUAUCCUUAACACGUGGUUUGUUAUUAUCAAAACCCAAGUUCGUACAACCGCUUAGGCCAACAUGUUACUCCCAAUCAAUUGACUUCUGACAUGACUACUUCCAAAAUGGCUAGUACCAAAAGGGAAUCCUUCUGGGAUGAGAAUUGAAAAACAUGCCUCUUCUAGCACUAAAAUUACUCCUUCCACCUAUAUUUCCACUAUAAUGUCCUUAAAAUCCUCCGGCAUAUCCACCUCUUUUAGUAUUGCCUCCUAUUUGUGCAUGAUAGUAAUUAAUUAUGCCAUAGUUAUUAUGGUUAGCAAAGUUAGCACAAUUUGCAUUGAAUAUGUGUUUUUCAUUAUGACUUUGUUCAAGUCUUGCCUCUUGAGUAAGCAAUAGAGCAUACGCACCAUCAUAAUAUAACUUGCUAGCAGUAAUAAAAGUAGAUAAAUGCAGAUGGCUAGCUCCAAAACUAUUGAGAAUUUGUUAAACAUAUCUUUAUCAGAAAUAGGACUACCAACACAUGUCAAUUUAUCUGCUAUUUAUUUAAUCUUUAAGCAAUACUCUUCUAUGCUUAGUGACUUUUUUUCUCAAAGCAUUCAUCUCAUAUCUCAUUUGAAGAAUCCUACCCUCAUAAUGUUGCCUAAACUUUUUCUGUAAUGUUUUUCAUACAUCAAGUAAGGUGUUAUAAGAAUGAACAAGACCGAGAAUACCUUCAGUGAUAGAGCUGAGUAACUAGCUAAGUAAUGUGUGAUCUUGAGAUCUCCAAACAAUGAACUCAGGAUUUUCAAUCUGUUAAGUAGAUGCAGCAACUGCUCUAGCAUAGCUGAUGAAUCAAUGAAUUGAUUUGGUGCUUCAUUUUCUCUAGUUAUGUAUCCUUCGGUUUCCUCUUAUAAAAGCUAGAACUUGAUUUUGCCACAGCAUGUAAUUUGAUCAAUCGAAUGUGAUUGGAGUGAUGAAACAGAAUGUUGUUUGCAUUGAUUGAUUUGUAGAGAUUGCAAUUGAAUUUGUGCUUACAUUGCUUGAGCUUGCCAUUUUGGCUCAGAUACCAUGAAUAAAUUAUUGGAAGUUGAGUUAUAGUUGCUGUUUAACAGCUGAGAAAAUAGAGGAAAAUUCUCUGGAAAUUCUAAAUGUUUCCUAUUGAGCAAACGAAAGAUUAACAUACUAUAUAUAUACAAGUUUCUAAAUUGUUUCUAGCUAAUUUACAGUACAGCUAAUCAAUAGAUUUGAUCCAAAGUAAAACUAAUUAGUUUCACACAUAAGGAGCACGUGAAUCCAUCAUCGUUGCAUAAUCGAACAUGUUGACUUAGCUGCUGACUUGGCAUUGACAGCUGAUUUGCUUCUUUUUUGUAACUCUGGAUAGUGUGCUUUCUUCACAAGUUUCCCCAAAUCUCCAUUAUGUACAGCUUCUGCAAAAAUUUCCUAACCAAACCAUUUAUUUGUAAUUUCCUCUUGUGUUGGCCCUAUGCCAUCAUCAAGUGGUACCGUGAGAGGAUUUCCAUCUAGAUUACCCUGAUCUUUGUCUGAAUCAUAACUAGUAUGCAUAGUGUUUUCAUCCUCAUCACCCUGCGCAGCCAAAACAAAAUGCUUAACAUUACAUAUACAGUAAAACCUCUCUAUAGUCAUAUUGUUGGGAUUAAACUAAUUUUAUUAAUAUGAAGAUGUUAUAAACUUAAUGGAAAUUCAGUGACAAAUCUAUUGAUUAGCUGUGCUACUUUGAUAAUUAAUUAAUGAAGCAUGUCAAAUCUAAUGCAUUGACAUUGAUAAAAGAGGUAAACAUAUAAUUUAAAAAACUAGUACUUAUAUCUAUCAUCUGUGUAGUAUUGGGAACAUGCAAAGUCUUCUUAUUGAAAAUCUAAAGAAUAAAUUAUUAUCCAAAAUAAUUUCAGAAAAAUAUUAUAUUUCAUCUUAAAUCUUUCAUGUAACAUAGCAAAUUUUUUUUUUUUUUGCUCAAUAUACAUAUUAGUAAUACUGUGUGGAUGCGUGUUCCUUAAGAUAUGCUCUAUAAAAGUUGUUAACUUAUUACAAUGUGAAGUUUGUUCUUAUUUAUAAUUGGCUUAAAGCAGGAAUAAGAUUUUUUGUGACUAUUGGACGUUGUUCUUAUAAAAUGUAUCACUACAGAGAGAUUUUAUUAUAAUUCUAAACCGAGAAAAGAAAGUGUAAUCCUAAUAAAUCACCAUCGAUUAGAGCUAUAAUGAAUUAAGCUUUACAAAGAAGAAGAAGAAAGAUUACAAUGUGAAGGCAACAAGAAUCAUGACAAAGUGAGAAAAAGAGAGGCCACAUAAGCCCCAAGGGAAAUUGAGAUUUUAUAACACAGCCUAAUUGCAGAAAGCAUAGGCGAAAAACAGGUGCUUGAUUGCAAACAUGCACACGCGCGCGCGCACACACAAUUUGACCACAAAGACCGCAUACCUUUGAGAGUUGGUCCUCUGGGGCAUAGGCAUUUUUCGCACGUUUUCGUGCUUCCUCCUUUUAUGGCCACGUAGUUUUCGUAAGCUUGAUCAAGAAACUCCUCCAAUUGUUCAUCAUACCUAACACCAAAAAAAUGUCAUAAGAUCACAAAGGCAUAAGUUGAUAGAUAUAUUUGUCAAGAUAAUGCGACAGAAGAUAUAGGUAGAAAAGAAUUACUUUCUGCAUUCUUUAUCAGAGUCACUGUCACUGGACAAUUGCUCUUGAGUGUCUCUAUCGGGUCUCUCAUCUUCACAGCCCUCUGCAGUAGCAUUCUCAUCAUCAUCAUCAUAUUCAACAGCAGCAAGAUCUUUUUUACCCUAAACCGAUCAUUCAAGUUUAUAAAAGAAUGAGAUACUUGCCUUAGACCACACUUUUGAAUUGGAAAAAACUAAUAAAUCAAAAUUGCAACUAAUAUUGUCCUACCCAGCCAUUUUUCAUUUAUCCUGAUGUCAAGUACACUACAAUCGAUGAGUACCUCAGUCAGUUUGCGUAACCCUUCUCUGUUGAGUUGUAGCUUGCAGGAUAUUGGGAAAUAAAUAAUUGGCUUGUUGCCAUCUUUGGUUUGUAUCUGUAAACAUUAUGGUUGUUGGCCUUACCUUCUUUUGGUUUUCUAUGGAAUUUGUAGCACCAUAUUUUGUCCACUAUGUCAGUACACCAGUGAUUAAACAAAGUAGUCUCAUGUGCUUGAUCUAAAAAUAAUUAUAAAGUCACCAUGUGGUUGAUCUAAAGAUAAUUAUAAAGUCACAAACACAGAAAAAUUAAAAGUAAUUCAUAAACAUUUGUCAUGUGAAAUUUACUUAAUGGAAGAGAAAUUCUAGGAAACAACUUUAUGGUGAGAAAACUCUAAAAAUCAAACCGAAAGAUAUAUAAUAAAUAAUUUUAUAAGAAUUAGGCUAUGUUUCAAAUAAUAUCACAUAUAGUAAAUUUAUGAGUUGUCGCUCAUCAUAACUCAAUUGUUUCACAUAUUGUAAUUCUUUAAUUUUGAAUAACAACAUAUGUUUCAUAAGAUUUAAAAUGGUAUGACUCAUUUUAUAAUAUUUUUAACUGAAUUGAAAUUCUGCAACUAUAAAAAUUGAAAAGAAUGAACUUGGCGGUAUUACGCUUAUAGUAUUGUUUCUUAUGGUGAACCAAAAGCAAGCCAAAAUUACGCUUACAUCAUCUUACUCUACCGUAAAACUUAUUUAUAAUCAUAACGGUAACACUAAAUUAAUUUUAUUACUGUGAGAGUUUAAUAUUUAAUAGAGGUGUAGUUACAAAAAUUAUUAUUUUAACUUAAUUAUUUUUUGUGCAAGUGAUAUAGCGAUAAAAUAUGCACUAUAUUAAUAACUAAUUAAUACAGCAUGUCAAAUUCAAUGUACUAACAAUGAUGAAAAAGAUAGGCAUAGUUUGAAAAAAACUAGUACAUAUAUCUUUAUAGUGCUGGAAUUAUGUAAAAUCAUCUUGAAAGUCUAAAGAAUAAAUGAUUGUACAAAAUAAUUUUAGAAAAAUAUUUUACUUCAUCUUAAACCUUUAACAUAAUAAGGGAUAUAUUUUUUACAAUAUACCGAUAAUUAUUACUAUUAGAGGUAACUUUCUUAAAACCGGAUUUAAAAAAAUUAUAAUUUAUCAUAAUAUAGAGUUUAUUCUUAUUUAUAAUUAUUAGGCUUGAUAAUCGACUGGGUCGUGUUUGGGCCAUGCCAAGCUCUAGCCCAACUAGGGGUGGCAAAACGAAUAAACGAAUCGAAUUUGAAUCGAAUCGUAAACGAAUUGGGUCAAAAUUAUAUGGAUUCGGAUUCGAUUCGUUUAUUAAACGAAUUGAAAUUUCAGGAUUCAGAUUCGAUUCGGUUAUUAAACAAAUAUUCGGUUCAAUUCGUUUAAUUCGUUUAAUAGAAUUGAUAAACGAAUCGAAUCGAAUCCGGAUUCGUUUAUUAUUCGCUUAUCCUUUACGAAUCCAUAACGAAUCGAAUCGAAUCAGGAUUCGUUUACAAUUCAUUUAGAAAAAUAUAAUUAAUAAACAAAAUUAAGCAAAAAAAACACAAAUUUAAUAUCCCACAACAAAAUACAAAUAAUUCAAAUCAUAUUAUACAGUCAUCCAAAUACUAAAUUACAAAUCCUUAAUAUUACAAAUAACAAUAAUUCAAAUUCAAAUUAUAAAGAAAUGUAAUUUCUUUAAUUCUCUUCAUUUGUCUUUGUCGCCUUGAAAACAAAAAUCCUACACCAAAAAGUAAAUAAAAUGUUAUUAACAUGCUGCAAUAUUGAUAAUAGUCAUUGUAAAAUUUCAAAAAUCAAAUAUAUAGCAAAUUUGUAGCAUUUUCAAGAAAAUAAUAAUUAAACAAGAUAAAAACUUUACCUACCACACUCACACACUGUCAUUUGGAUCAUUGGCACUCUCUGCAGAUGGAGCACAAUUAGUGCUCAUGUUCAUAAUGUUUUGAGUAAGUUGGUCCACAGUGACAUCCAAAUUUUCUACAAUAAUUUUAUAAAAAUAAAUCUUAAUUAGAAACAAUUGCACAUAAUAUUAUAAAAGAAAAGUAAAUAAAUUUUAUGAGCAAGUUUUACCAAUCUCUCCAAACUUCCAAUCUCUAGUAGUAAUAAUUGCUUGAACUAUCUCUAGUAGUAAUAAUUACUUGAACUGUCUCUGGCUUCAAUACACUUCAAAAUUGAUCAAGAACUCAACCGCCAAACAACAACAAAACAACAGUAAAACAGCAACAAAAUAGCAGCAAAAUAGUAGUAAAACAACAACAAAAUAUCAGUAAAAUAGCAGUAAAACAACAACAAAAUAGUGGAAAAAUAACAAAAAAAAUGGUAGCGAAACAGCAGCCAAACAACAGCAGUAAAACAGCAGCGAAACAGCAGUAAAACGACAGUAAAAUAGCAGUAAAUCAGCAACAAAACAACAGCAAAACAGUAAUAAAACAGCAACAAAACAGCAACAAAACAACAGCAAAACGGUAAUAAAACAGCAAUAAAAGGCAAAUUUUCAGUGGUGUACCGUGAUGGUGGGUAGUUAGCGCGGCGGGAAGUGGUGCUGGGGAUGAAAACCUUCAAAUUUUAAAAAGCUUUCAAAUAAAUUUAAGGAUAAAAAAGUAAUUUAAUUAAACGAAUAAUAAACUAAUCGACCCGUAUUCGAUUGGUUUAUGACCGAUUUAUUAAACGAAUAAACGAAUCAAAAUUUUCAAACCUGCAUUCGAUUCGUUUAAUUAACGAAUCGAAUCGAAUUCACCCAUUUAUUAAACGAAUCAAUUUUUUCAAACUCAAACCCAUUUAAUUUGCAUCGAAUCGAAUCAAAUAAACGAAUCCUGACCCAUAUUGCCACCCCUGCCCAACCCUAUGAUUAAAAUGAAGGACUCUAAUACUAAAAAGCUUGACCCUUCAAACUAAAGAACAACCUGGCUUUAAUAAUUUUUUUAUAUUUUAUUUUUUUUUUUAAGAAUAUGACUCCUAUUCUUCAUUCUUUAGUAAUAUUAUUAUUAUUAUUAUUGUUCCUUUUUUUUGUUGGAUUUGUUUGUAAGGAAUUUAAUAAAUUAUUUUUUAUUUAACUUAACAACAAUAGAACGUUUAACAAUCUAACAAAAUUAAUAUAUUAACCAAGCAAUAGGUAAAUAAAUCAAAUACAAAAUAACAAAAUUAAUAUGAAAUAGAGAUAAAUAUCCCUAAAGUGUAGUUGUGACCAUCUAUGUGUAUGUGUGUUUAAUAAUAUUUUUAUUUUAAAAAUUAAUUUAAAGAUCAAGAGUUGAGUUAAAACAUUUUGGUAAAACUUUAACCCUAACCCAAAUGUAAUUAGGUCCUGAUUCCUUAAGCCCUAACCCAACGUUUAACCUUUCAAAUUCGAGUCAAAACCAUUAAAAUUAAGAUCGAAUCAAUCAAGUCGAGGGUCGGAUAAAACCUUUUUGUCAUCCUAAAAAUUACCCUAAAUUAAAAUCAAAAUUUUUUAAAAUUAUAUAAAAAUUAUUCUUAUACACAGUAACAAUAUACGACCCAACAAGAAAUGAACCUGGACGCAUUAGGGCUUUGAUCCACAAACAAACUUUCAAAACCCUCUUAGACCUCAAGAGCAUUUUAGUCCAUUUAAUCAAAAGUAAAAGUGCGGCUACCAGCUAACUCUCCGGAAUUGAACUGAACGAGUUUCAGAAAUGGCAUCGAAAAGCAAGAUUCUAUCCAUCGGCGGGACAGGGUAUAUCGGUAAAUUCAUCGUGGAAGCUAGCGUGAAAGCCGGCCACCCGACGUUCGUGCUCGUGAGGGAAUCCACAGUCUCUGGUCCUUCCAAAUCUCAGCUCCUCGACCACUUCAAAAACCUCGGCGUCAAUUUCCUUGUCGUGAGUUAUCAAUUUUUUUUUUCAUUUUUUUAAUUCCAAAUUUUGACACGUGGCGGUGUAGCCUCUACUUGAUAGACUUGGUUUUUUUUUUUAAUUUAAUUUUUGUGGGUGCUGUUAUUAUUAUGCAGGGAGAUGUUUUGAAUCACGAGAGUUUGGUGAAGGCGAUAAAACAAGUGGACGUGGUGAUAUCAACAGUUGGUCACACUUUAAUAGCCGAUCAGGUCAAGAUUAUUGCUGCCAUUAAAGAAGCCGGUAACGUUAAGGUAUGACAUAAUUAAUGUAAAUGUCUUAGAUUCCGAUCAGGAUUGUGCACUCGUGCACACGUGGUGAUUUAUUCUUCGUGUGGAGCUCGCUGUAGAGUAGAGCUCCCAGUUCCGCUAAUAAACACCCGUCACAUGCGCAAUUGCGCCUCAAAAUAAUUUAAUUAAUUAAUUAGGUAUAAACACCGAUGGCAUGAAAGCAAUUAAAAUUAGUUGAUGUUUAUAAAUUAUUUAUUACUCAGAGAUUCUUCCCAUCGGAAUUUGGAAAUGAUGUUGAUCGAGUCCAUGGCGCCGUGGAGCCAACAAAAUCGACGUAUGACGUAAAGGCGAACAUCCGCCGAGCCGUUGAGGCAGAAGGCAUUCCGUACACGUACGUAGAAUCUUAUUUUUUUGAUGGCUACUUCCUCCCUAAUUUGUUGCAGCCUGGGGCCACUGCCCCCCCUAGGGAUAAGGUUGUCAUCUUCGGCGAUGGAAAUCCAAAAGGUAACAUAAUUUAAUUAAGCUCUGUUUGUUUGGUAUGUAUUUCGGUGUUAAUGUUAUUGUCUGUUGUACAAUGGAUGGUCUUGCUUGGUACUGUUGUUGGAGAGCUGCAGUGUUUUGAUAAACACCUCUAUCCUUAGCUUUCAAGUUAAGUUGAUUUUAUACAACACUUGUUUAAUUAAAAACUUGUAAUAUUCUUACUACUUUGAUAAAAAAAAUAUUACGAUUAAAGUAUUAAUGGCACCAUAAUACGAAGUGAAUCUUAAGUGGUCAUUAUAGAUUUUAAGAUAGAGUUUUAAGUGAUUACCAGAUACUUUAGCUGCUGAACCGCCACAUCAUGGUUGCCACACAACAAUUUCAAACAGAGCCUAAAUAACUUCAUUGCAAAACAGUUAAAUGAAUCUAACUUAGUUUCGUCGUUUGAUUUUCAGCUGUUUUUAACAAGGAAGAUGAUAUUGGAACCUACACUAUCAAAGCGGUUGAUGAUCCGAGAACCUUGAACAAAAACUUUUACAUUCAGCCUCCCGGUAAUAUUUACUCAUUCAAUGAUCUUGUGUCUCUGUGGGAGAGAAAGAUUGGUAAAACCCUCGAAAAGGAGUAUGUUUCAGAGGAGCAGCUCCUAAAGAAUAUUCAAGGUUGGUUAAAACUCUCUUUUUUAAAUGUAUUAAAGAGAGCCGUAUAUUCUCUGCCGUAAAUGUUAUUGAUCCUGUCUUCUCCAAAAUGUUGCAGAAGCUGCAUCUCCACACAAUUUUAUAUUAUCAAUUUAUCACUCUGCUUUCGUGAAGGGAGUUCAAACUAACUUCAAGAUUGAACCAUCUUUUGGAGUUGAAGCCUCGCAGCUUUAUCCUGAUGUCAAGUACACUACAGUUGAUGAGUACCUCAAUCAGUUUGUGUAACCCUUCUCUGUUUCCAGCUGCAGCUUGCAGGAUCUUGGACUGUUGGUAAAUAAAUAAUUGGCUUGUUGCCAUCUUUGGUUUUAUAUGUAAAAAUUAUGGUUGUUGGCCUUACUUUCUUCUGGUUGUCCAUGGAAUUUGUUAGACCAUAUUAUGUUUGCUAUGUCAGUGAUCAAAUGAAGUAGGCCAUGUACUUGAUUUGAGAGUAGUAGUUAUAAAGCCAUCAUGAUCAGGUGGGUGCGUAGGUUGGGCUUCUAUUAGGGUGCGUGUGUUGGGCUUCAGGGGCUUGUGAUAUGGGUUCGACAGCCCCUAACGGGCAGUCAUUAUAAAAAUAAUUAUAGAGUUACAAAUCUAUGUAAAAAGCAAAAAUUAAAAGUAAUUUAUCAAUAAAAAUAAUUAAAAUUAAUAAAAAGUAGGUAUGAUAAUUCAGAAAUUAAAUUAAAGAUAGAAUUCUAAAGAGUUGGAUAAUCCUCCAACUAAACUAAAGAUCUAGUACUUUUGAGAGCAAAUUUAAUUAAAGAAAAGGAUAAGGAAAAACAAUAGAAUAAUAAUAUUAAAAAAUUGCAAAUCUUGGUCUUUUUUUUUUACGAUGAUGUUGAAUUCUUAUAAAUUUAAUCUUAUCUAUAGAAUUAUUUAGUUACUGUAUGUCAAAAUUUCCUAUAAAGAUGAAGAAAAAUUAUAUUAGGAGAAGAUCCAAAUCCGUUUAACUGAUGCAUCAUCGACAACAUGAGUACAACAUUUUCGAAUAAACAAAAGAAACUCGUUUUAUGUGUGAACCAGUUCCAAAAUAAAGAGCAGACUAUUGGAAGGAGACAAAUACUACAAGAAGAACAAAACAUUCUACAAUUCCUACAUGAGCCCGCAACAAUUAAUUAUUAACUCGACAUUCAUUACACUUUUUCUUUAAUUUGACAAAGAAACCAAAAAUAAGAUAAAAUUGACUAAGAAAUAAAAAAAUGACAAAAAUCUUUUUGAAGUUUUGCCAGUUCAGCCAUGCACGCUUAUCUUUAUUCACUUGUUUCCUUUCUUUCCUUUCUUUCCUUUCUUUCCUUUCUUUGCUGAAGCCUUCACAGAUCCUUUACCUUUCUGAGCCUUGCCAAUUUUCCCCUUCUUCAAACCACCUGGCCUUGCUGGAUCCACGUGUCCUUGCAUCCUUUUUCAUUCGUGGAUCAACAAGAAUCUCCCCCUUUCCAGCUCUCUCUUGAACUCCUUGCUUUGCGACCAUGUAUUCUUUGGUAGGCCUUUUGGGUAUAGUUGUCUUGUAUAAUUGUUCAAUUUGAUUCCUCUUCGAACGAUCAGAGAUGUCCGCUUAGUCUGAUAUGACAUUUGCCUUCUUGCGAACCUUCUCAAGAUUUCGCAUGGCAACCCGUAUCUUUCGAGCUUUGGUCUUAGCCACCUUCUUGGCAGUAUGGGUGGGCGAUUCGAUUUUGGGAUAAACUUUUGGUUUCGUAUCGGUUUAGAUUAAAAAAUAAUAUAAAAAAAUAUUUAGAUUUUAAGGGAAAAAAUCCGAACCGAGACUCACCUAUCGAUUUUGGCUCGGUUUCAGUUCAGUUUUGAUUCUCCUAAUAGUUUUAUUUUGCCUUAUUGACUUCCGGUCAAUGACACUUUUGAAAAAUUUACAAAAAAAAAAAAAAUGGCCAUAACAAAAUUUCUAAAUGCAAAUAUUUCCUAAACAUUAGGCUAUACUAAAUUUUUUUAAAAGGUAGGGAUCCAAACGAUAUUAUCCCUCUACUUCAUCUUCAACCUUCGUCACUAGGGAUGGCAAAAUUCAGGUUCGGGUUCGGGUCCGGGUUUAGCCAUUCGGGAUCCGGACCCGGAUGAAUAUUUUCUGUAUCGGACCCGAAAAUAAACCCGCAUUUUUCCACUCCGAGUCUGGUACGGGUUCAACCCGAAAAAAUUCGGGUUCCCAGACUGCGGGUUUCCAACCCGAAUUGAUGAAUCCAAUUGAAAAAAAAAAACUAAAUUCAACUAAAAAAAUCAAAUAGAAAUACAUAUCCAGGAUUUUAGCAAAUCAAAGAAAAAUUAUUUCAUCUGGAAACUAAUUAACAAAAACAACAAUUUUGUUUGGCUGCCCAGAAUCAGCAACCCAAUGUGGCGGCUCGUUCAAAACAUUAGUGUUUUCAACAGAUUUUGGGGUAGGAAAAGCCAAACCUAUCUAGAACAAUGAAUUUGUAUUUUUGGGGGAGAUGAGAUACCUCACUGGUUUGUUGUGUGCGGUGCAGUGUAUCUGAAAUUUGGGGGAUGUGAGAAGGGGAGAGGGAGUGGUAACAAUGGUGAAAGGUCAAAACCAAUAGAGAUGUCCUUCAAAAUGAGCUUCACACCUGUAAAACAGUGAAAUAAAGGUUAGAGGUGAAGCCGGGAUACCCCGGUGUUCACACUCCGAUGCUCAAGUUAGCAAACUCAAGCUUUUAUGACAAAGAGAACUGGCUAGCCCUCUGUAAAUUAGGGUUUAAGGUUCAAGGAAACCUAUUUUUUGGAAUGUGAGUGUUAAUGGUGAGUGAGAGACCUCUUCGAGAAUGAAACAUAGGCGCCUUUAUAUAUGGAGUACCUCAGCUGCCACAUGACGUACCCUUUUUUGGCUAACGUCAUUUUUCCUUUUUAUGAUUUUUGGGUCGUUAUGUGCAUGUUCGCGGGGUAUCUCAUCUUUUGGAAACGUGGCGCGCGCUGGAGAGUGGUCCAGGGUACCUCUGCAGUAGCUGUCGGGUAGGCAGCUGAAGACCACUGUCCUUGGGACAAUGUCCUUCACUUUUGGUAAAGGUGACAGGCGGUUGUCCCCCUUUUUAACACGACAUUUUUUAUUCCUAAUUAUGACAAAAUCGAAUAAUAUCUUUUAAGAGAUGGAGACGUUUCUCAUGGUGGAUAUUUUCAGAGGAUUCUCUUGCAUCUGAUCAGCCGGGUUCCUCCAGUUAUGCAGGGUACCUCUAAUUUUACGGGGUACCUCUAUUUGCGCAGGGUACCUUGAAUCAUGCUAGGUACCUUAGAUUAUGCGGGGUACCUCAUAUUGUGUGGGGUACCUCUAAUUGUGCGGGAUACCUCUAUUUGCGCUAGGUACCUUGAAUCAUGCUGGGUACCUCAGAUUGUGCGGGGUACCUCUAUUUGUGCAGGGUACCUUGAAUCAUGCUGGGCACCUCAGAUUGUGCGGGGUACCUUUAGUCAUGCGAGGUACUUUUAAUCAGGCCAGGUACCCUCUAAUUGUGCUGAGUACCUCUAAUCAUGCAGGGUACCUCUAAUCAUGCGGGGUACCUCUAAUCAGGCCGGGUACCUCAGAUUGUGCGGGGUACCUCUAUUUGCGCAGGGUACCUUGAAUCAUGCCGGGUAUCUCAGAUUGUGCGGGGUACCUCAAAUUGUGUGGGGUACCUCUAAUCGUGCGGGGUACCUCUAAUCAUGUCGGGUACCUCGGAUUGCACUGAAAUUAUUCCAUUCGUUGACACGUGGCGUUAUGCUAUCUUUCUUAUUUUUCCCCCAAACAACAUCCCUCUAGUUUCUUUUGGCAAGAAGUUUUGGAGGCAAAAGAAACUUACAUAAAAAGUAGGAGCGACACGUGGCGAUAUGAUGUUUAGCUCGAUGGAUAACUAAAUAGAGGGCGCCUCUAGGGGUACCCUGAGAACCCAAAAAGGGAAGAUGGGCUCCAUUUCCUCGGAAAUGGCUACCACUUUGGACAUGUUGGAAAUGAUAGAGCUAAUUGAUCAAAAAAAUUUCAUCUAUUUCUGGGGAAGAACACCAAAUACGGGUAGAGGGUAUCGUUAGGGUACCCCACCAUUAUCCAUAGUUUGUUUUCUAGUGACUGCCAUGUAUAAAUCGCUCUGGUGAAGGCUUCAAUACAUUCUUUGGGCAUUUAAGAAGCAAUUAUUUGAUUAUCUCGGGAUCCACCUUAUUUAAGGGUAUAUUUCCUUCAUGUGCUUCGAAGAAAAAAAUAAAAUCACAGGGCCUUCUUCCUUGUAACUUCAGAGGUACCAUCGACAGAAGAACAUAGUCGACAAUGCUUUUAAGCGUAUCAUGAUCGAGGAAUGGAGUGCUGAUCUGGGGUUGGUGGUGCCAAGAGUGGAGAAGAUGGUAGAUGAACCGGCUAUCUUGAAGGCGAUUAAUGAUAGCGGGGCUCCCAACACAUCUUGGUCUGAAAGCCCAUUGAGAUCAGCUGAGGUACCUCAGAUGAGGUAUCUAUAAGGUACCCCUGAUACUAACCCUUGUGUUUUUGCUACUUUUAGCACUUUAUUGAUCCCUUCAUCCUAAGGGAUGAAGUUGAAGAUAAAUAUCCUGUUGUAUAACCUUGUUCGACAUUACUGACAAGAUGUAUGGGGUACCUUGUUAGCCUAUAUGGCUAUAAAUAUUGAUUUUGAUGAUAACAAACCACAUGUAUUUAUUGAGUAAAGAUUUAUGAAUUGUGCUUUUAUAAUGAGAAAAUGAUGUUAUGGAAUUAAAUCUUUUUGAACUAAAAUGAAAGUAAUUUUAAAAUCUUUGAUAGUAUUUUAAAUUUCGGAUUUGUACAUAUUUGAAACUAUUUAAAUGUUUUUAGGUCAUUUUGUAAUUUCACAAAGUUUGGGCGAAGUCAUAAUUUCAUAAAGUUGUGGGAUUGAGAAAGCAUUAUCUAAAAUUAUGAAAUUGGACAUAUUUGCAAACGUUUAUAACGUUUUGGGCCAUACCACAGUUUUAUAAAGUUUUAGGGUCAAAUUGAAAAUAUUAGAAAAUUUUCACUGUAGCAGGUUACUGUAGCAAGCAGCUUACCGGAUUCAGAAAAUCAGAAAUCCGGAUUCGAGGCAGUAAGCAUCCAGAACCAAAACGGCUUACCGGAUUCCUGAAUCCGGCAAACCGGUUAGGCAAAAUUUUGAAUUUUGCCUUAACGGUAACAUAAAUCCGGCUUACCGAAUUCUAUAAAAUGGCAAACUGGAUAGCCUAGAAUGUGAGUAACGGCUAGUUUUCGAGCUCAAGCUAUAAGAACUCAAAUCCAACUCAUUUUGAAGCUCUCCAACAAGCAAGAACAAAAAGCACACGUGAUAUCUUGAGCCUUCAACUUGUAAAACACAAUUCAUUGAAUCAUUCAUUGUUCUUCAUCUUUGAAUAUCUACUCAUUGAGUGAGUUUCAUUGUAUCUUUCAUUUCUUCAAUUCAUUUGUAAGAGUUUGAGUGUGUGAGACACUUGAGUGAAGAGAUUGGGAGAUAAUCUCUUUGUUGUAAAGGUUUAUUGACACCUCGAAGUCAAUUGUAAUCGUUGAAGCCUUGGAAAGGCUUGGAUAGUGAAAUCCUCGAGCUUGGAUCGCUUGGAGGCGUGGACGUAGGCGGGGAUUACCGAACCACGUAAAAAUUCGUGUGUUUGUUUCUCUUCUCCCUUACUCUUUAAUUAUUGUACCAUUAUUGAACUUAUUACUUUCAAUUAUUGUUAAGACAUUAGAUUGCUUGUUGUGUGGAUUUGUUAGGAUAAUUUUUAAAAAUCCAAUUCACCCCCCUCUUGGGUUGCACACUUGUAUUUCAUACCUCAUGUACCCUAAUGCUUGGAUAUCCCUUGAGCUAUCUGUUACUUCAUGGCGGAAUAACCCAAUUGCAUCAAACAUAUGGCGAUUCUUCCAGAUAUGCUUGUCGCUUAUCUUAAGCUUUCUUAGGGUUCCUCCUGGUGUAUCUGAGGAAUAGCUUUCUGGCGUGGGGUACCCUUAAUCAGCGUAUGGUGAUUUUCAUAGAAAUGCUUGCCGCAAAUCUUCACAAAACUUGUUGCGGUUGCUUUUGAGAGAUUGUGCGGGGUACCUUGAAUCAUGCCGGGUAUCUCAGAUUGUGCGGGGUACCUCAAAUUGUAUGGGGUACCUCUAAUCGUGCGGGGUACCUCUAAUCAUGUCGGGUACCUCGGAUUGCAGUGAAGUUAUUCCAUUCGUUGACACGUGGCGUUCUGCUAUCUUUCCUAUUUUCCCCCAAACAAUUAGUAAAGAGAGCUAAAGAACUAGCUUUAGUUACGAGCAGAAAAUCAGAAGUCAAGGAGCAGCCAAAGCACUUUUAAUGGUGAUGGUAAAACUAGAGAGGUAAUGCAAAUAAGUUUACGUUGAUUGGAUAUUCAGAAGAAGUAAUACGCCAUUAAAAGCAACAAGUUUUCCAAAAAGCCAACAAAGACAGAGACCACCACACCACCCCGCACUGGAUGAAAAACGAUGAAAGCAUGAUAAGUGGCAUCGAGUAAGCCACGUUCUCUCUCUCUCUCUCUCUCACUCGCACUCGCACUCGCACUCGCACACACUGUUACUAAAAUGACCAAAAAUAAGAUUCCCAUCAAAAUAUUUUCGAGUAUCGUUCUUGAAAGUGGCGGCGGCUGAUGAUGAUGAACACAGCCGCGAUUGCGAUUGGCGAAGGCGGCGUUCUGCCCGUAUCACAGCUAGUUAUCGGUCGCGGCAGAAAAGAUAAUGAAACGACGGCUGAUGAUGAUGAUGAUGAUGUUGAACAGCCGCGAAUAUGGGUAAGUGAUGCGACGAUGAUUUGAUUUGAUGAAGAUGAGCUGAACAUGGAAUAAGAGAGGAAAUGUUUGUGCGGCUGGGAAAGUGUAAUGAACUGCUAGGGCACCAUUUGGGUUUUUUUGCUUUCCUAUUUAUAUUAAAAAUAAUUUUUAAAAAUUAAUAUAUAUCCGGGUUCGGGUUUUGGAUGUACGGGUUUACCUAGACCCGGACACAUGCGGAUUCAGCAGCACCGACCACCCACAGACUUGGAUUUGAUUACAAAGUUGGGACUUAGGAUUUGGGUUUGUGGCUGCCGAAACAGAAAGUGAGAGAGUAGAAAGUAGAGACUGAGAGUGGUGCAAACAUGUGUAAUUUUGUGUGUGUGUCUAUAUAUAUAUAAUGUGAAAUUACAAAAAUGCCAUUAUAUCAGUUCAAUUCGAAUUUUGUAACUUGUGAUCCGAAAACUGAACCAAACCGAACCAUUUGGUUUGGUAUUUAUAUAUUCAGGUUUUUAAUUUAAAAAAACUAAAUUGAAAUUGAAAGAACUAAACCGAACCGAAUUUUUUUUUUUUUUGUUUCGAUUCAAUUAUGCCCAUCCCUACUUAGUAGGCUGGGUAUCAAUUUCUUUGAAUUGUGCUUUCAUUGCAGUAAUCUCCUCCUUGGUAAUAGGUUUAAUUGCUUGCUGAUGCCACCUUUCCUCUAGUAACAACUAGUCUAACAAGCCAUCAUCGUCAAACAUGUACCUAUUAUAAGCAUCAUCCAGAAUUUGCUCUCUUUGCUUUUUGCUUAGUGUCUUCUUUGCACAAGCUAUUAUCUUAGCUUUUGUAUCAAUAUCUUUAUCUUUUGAUUCACCAGAGGAUGAAUCAUCACCGGAAUAGAGUGGUGAAGGCCCCAUAGAUUAGUGUGAUCAAGUUCUAGUGUAGUUUUGGUUUUGAUUUCAGUAUUAGGAAAAUGAAGCCUAUGAAAUUUACCAAGCUAACAUGCUUCACAAAAGUGCUUUAAUACUUGACUAUGAAUACUUGAAGAGGAUAAAUGAGGAUAAAUAAAUUUAAAUAUACAUUAGAUUUUGAGGGUUGGGAUGUCAAAACUUUUGGUGAAAAAGAGUUAGUACAAGCAUUUUUAUUGAGAUUGAAAACAUUUCUUAAGAUGAUCAAUACUAGUUACAAAAUUGGAAUGAAAAAAAAAAGGCAACAUAGACAAAGGUUUGUUUAUUUGAUUGUAAGAUAGAAAAGACUUGUAUUUAGGUUGUGGAAAGGAUUUGAGCAGCAAUUUAUACAACCUUUUCUCAGCAAAACCUUCCUCUUCAAUGAAUCCUUCACAAAACAAAUAGAUCCAAGAAAUUCGACAAAUAAAUUGUUGUCAAUGGUAAGUUUUGAAAUGCUCAAUAGAUUCUUUGUAAUGGAUGGAACAAACAGUACAUCCUUAAGUAAAAUAUGUCUUAUAUUAUCUUUUUUUAAUUCUUUUUAAAAAAAUAAGUGAAUAAUAGUAUGUCAAUCUCAAAUAUCAAUAUGUACAAUUUUUAUUUGUGUAAGAAUUUGCAUCCAAUAAUCAUCAAUACAUAAUUGUCUUUUAAUUGAAUGGUUCUCACCUCCCUUCCAAACUUUGAAAAGGUAAAAUAAGAUCAAUCAUGUCAGUGGCAAUUAAUAUAAAGAUUACUUUUCUUAUUUGUAGUAACGUCCUCUGAUUAUUUAGCUGAUUUUCAAGCUACACAUUUAUUCCAUUUGAUGUUGAUAUUAGUAAAAUUAAUGUAAUAUUUAAAAAGGAAAAAAAUCCGUCGAGCUAAAAGCCGAGUAUAAAAUUGAACCAGACCCAAACCAGAAACGCACGCCAACAACAUGUUUGCGUCAGUCGGCCCAUGCCCAUAAACCCACCAAGCCCGAUCCAAAUAGAAAAAUGAAUUGGACACCCGAGAUAGCAGAAACAGAUAAGUAACGGUCGUGCUAUCCCCAAUCUCAUAUCUUCAACGGUAUCCAGCCAACAUCUCAAAGUGUUCAAUUUUUUUUUAAGCCAAAAAAAAAUUCAAAAUUUUCAAGCGGAAUCUGGGAAGAUAGCGAUGAAAAGCAAGAUUCUGGUUAUCGGCGGAACCGGAUACAUCGGUAAGUACUUAAGGUGCGUUUGAAAUUGAGGUUGAGCAACUAUAACUUUAAAACUGCAGCACUAAAAUAUUUGGUAAACACUAAUUGUUGUAACUUAAAAGCUAUUUAAUAUAAUUUUUCACUUGUAUAAUAAAAAAUUUAUUAUCUUUAAUAAUUUUGUCAAAAUUAUUAUUUAAAAUAUAUACAGUAAGAGAGAUUGUAACAUUUUCAAUCUUUGGUUUGAUAUUCUGGAAGAAAACGAUUUGCCGUUUAUGGAGAAAACUGCUAACCGUUUAAUUUCAGAGAGCAUGUUUUCUAUUCUAGAGAAAACGGCUAACCGUUUGGAGAAAACGGCUAACCGUUUGGAGAAAAUGGCUAACCGUUUGGAGAAAACGGCUAACCGUUUAAUUCCAGAGAGCAUGUUUUCUGUUCUAGAGAAAAUGACUAACCGUUUGGAUAAAACGGCCAACCAUUAAUUACAGAGAGCAACUUAUUUGACAUUCUGGAAUAAAACGGCUCACCGUUAUUGAGAAAACGGCUAACCGUUUAUUUCCAGAGAGCGUGUUUUUGCGUCAACUGGAAAAACGGUUAGCAAGCUUAGAAAUUUCAAUUGUCAAUCGAUGCAAACUCAAACCAAAAGAGUGUUUUUUUGAAGAAGUACUAUUUUUAAUGGUUGUAUUCUUUCAAAUAAACAUCUUCUUUAUUAAAGAUAGACAAACUAUUAUAUCAUAAUUAGAUUUUGCAGGUUUCAUAUAUGUUCUGGAAAUACAAUCUUAUUUUUUAGAGAUUGUAUUCAGGAUUUGAUAUAUCUUAGGGGUAAUUUGCCAUUAAAACUCUAUAGCAAACCAAGAUUGGUGAGGGUAAAUAAAACCUUAAAGAAAAAUGUGCAAACACGUCUCAAAUCCUAAGAAAUUUUCUUUGUUCUUUGCCUCCAUAUUCUUAAAAUUUGAAAAUUCACCCAUCAAUCUUUAAGGUUUUAUUUUGAUGCAAAUAGAGGCUGAGAAGAGUUUGACGUCAUUUCUUAAUCCUAGUGUCCAUCUCGAUCGUUUUGAUGGAACAAAUUUCACUCGUUGGAAGGAAAAAUUGUUCUUUCUUCUUACUGUUCUUAAAGUGGCAUAUGUUCUUAAUCCGAAAUUGGAACCAUUUCCAGAACCAAGGGAAGAUGAUACCGAAGUUGUUAAGGCUGUAAGGAAACGUCGUGAAGAUGAUGAAUUGAUGUGCCGGGGUCACAUACUCAAUACGCGUUCUGACAGGUUAUAUGAUCUCUACAAUUUUAUGACUUCUUCGAUGGAAAUUUGGAAUGCUCUUGAGUACAAAUACAAAACGGAGAAAGAAGGUACUGACAAAUUCCUUGUCUCUAAAUAUUUUGAAUUUAUUAUGGUAGACACACAAUCCAUUCUUGAUCAAAUACAUGAGUUAUAAAUUAUUGUUGCUAAGCUUCGAGAGUUAAAAGUUAAAAUUUCUGAAUCAUUUCAAGUUGGGACUAUUAUUGCUAAAUUGCCUCAAAGUUGGAAUGAUUAUAGAAAGAAACUCCUUCAUAGUAAAGAGAACAUAACUUUAGAAGAAUUGCAAAAACACUUGGUAAUUGAAGAAGAGACUAGGUCUCGCGAAUCCAAGGAUAAACAUGAUUCUACUAAAGUUAAUGUUCUUGAAGCUAGUAAAUUCUCAAAGAAUUUUAAAGUCAAGAAUGACAAGAAAUUUAAGAGGUCCAGCACACAAAAGUUUUCUGGAAAUUGUUUCUUUUGUGGUAAGAAAGGUCAUCGCCAAAGUGAUUGCAGAUUCAAGAAAAAAAAAGAAGAAGUGAAUUCCUAUAAAGCUAAUGUUAUUGAAAACAAAUCUGAAAAGAUUUGUGCUAUGGUUUCUGAAAUACAAAUUGGCAUGAUUAUCGAAACCAAUAUGGCUGAAACUAAGUCCUAUGAUUGGUGGCUCGAUUCGGGUACAACAAUUCAUGUUUGUAAUGAUAAGAAAUUUUUAUUAUCAUACAAAGAAGAAACGGAAGGACAAAUGGUUCUCAUGGGGAACAAUAAUGCAGCCAUAGUAGCAGGGAAAUGAGUAGUUGAGAUCAACUUCACUUCUAGAAAGAAAGUCACAUUGUAUAAUGUCUUUCAUGUACCUUCCGUUAGGAAGAAUCUUAUUUCUGCUAGUUGUAUGUGUAAGCAUGGGCUUAAGAUUGUGCUUGAGGGUAAUACUUGUAUUAUCUCAAAGAAUGAAUUAUUUGUUGGGAAAGGGUAUUCUUGUGAUGGAAUGUACAAACUCAACAUUAAUAAUAAUAAUAUCAACUUAGCUUAUAUUGUUGAGUCUUGUGAUGUUUGGCAUGCUAAAUUAGCACAUUUGAAUUUUAGAUCUUUGAAAUACAUGUCUGAGCAUGGUUUGAUUAAUUGCAAUGAUGUUAAAGGUCAUAAGUGUGAAAUCUGCAUCCAAGCUAAAUUAACUAAGAAACAUUUUCUUAAAGCCGAACGAAAUACUCAAAUAUUGGAUUUAAUAUAUACCGAUAUUUGUGAGUAUAAUGGCGUUUUAACAAGAGGAGGUAAGAAGUACUUUAUCCCUUUUAUUGAUGAUUGUUCUAGAUACACUUAUAUGUAUUUACUUAGAACAAAAAAUGAAGCUUUUGAUAAAUUUAAAAUUUUCAAAGCUGAAGUUGAGAACCAAAAAGAUAAGAAAAUCAAAAUGGUUCGUAGUGAUAGAGGUGGUGAAUAUUUCUCAAUUGAAUUUAAUAAUUAUUGUGAAGAAUUUGGAAUUAUUCACCAAAGAUCAGCUCCAUUUACUCCUCAACAAAGUGGUUUGGCUGAAAGAAAGAAUAGGAUCUUCACGGAUAUGAUAAAUUCCAUGAUCCAUAAUGCAAAACUACCAAAUAAUUUGUGGGGGGAAGCAUUACUCACUGCAUGUCAUAUUCAUAACAGAAUUACAUCUUUGAAAACACAUAUAUCUCUUUAUGAAAUUUGGAAAGGAAGAAAACCAAACUUGAUGUAUUUAAGGGUCUAGGGUUGUUUAGCUUUUUAUAAAAUACAUGAUCCUAAAUCAUCAAAGUUAAGUGCUAGAUGUAUAAAGAGUGUUUUCGUAGGAUAUGCUGAAAAUUCUAAGGCUUAUAGGUUGUUAGAUUUAGAUUAUAAUGUGAUUGUGGAAUCUAGAGAUGUUGAAUUUAUUGAGAAUAAAUUUCAACAUGAUUCUAAUAUUGAAUUAGAAUCAAUUAUUGAUCAACCAUGUGUUAAUACUCCUGUUACCUCCACUAACAAUAAUAAAAGGAAAGAGUCUAUGACAUCUUUCGAACCAAUGAGGAGUCAACGUGAAAAGAAAGAAAAGAGUUUAGCUCCGGAUUUUAUUUCAUCACAAGCACUACUCUUCUUGGUUGAAGGGGAUAGAAAGAAUGUACUUAACAAAGUACCAUUAUUGUUAAAUAUUGAAAAAGAUCCAAAGACAUUUAGCGAAGCUAUGUCUUCUAGAGACGCUUCUUUUUAGAGAGAGGCGGUAAAUGAUGAAAUUGAUUCGAUUAUUUCGAAUCAAACAUGGGUCUUGGUUGAUCUUCCUCCAGGAUCUAAACCAAUUAGCAGCAAAUGGGUAUUUAGAAGAAAGUACAAUAGUGAUGGUUCUUUGCACACUUUUAAGGCUAGAUUAGUAGCCAAAGGGUUUAAGCAAAGAAAUGGUAUUGAUUAUUUCGAUACAUAUGCUUCGGUAGCAAGGUUAACUUCUAUAAGAGUGCUAUUUGCAAUUGCUUCAUUGAACAAUUUGUAUGUGCAUCUAAUGGAUGUUAAAACCGCUUUUCUUAAUGGUGAUCUUGAUGAAGAAAUCUAUAUGGAACAACCUGAGGGAUUUGUUUUACCAGGAAAUGAGAAAAAAGGUAUGCAAAUUAGUCAAAUCACUUUAUGGUUUAAAGCAAGCACCAAAACAAUGGCAUGAGAAGUUUGAUUCGGUAAUUUUAUCUCAUGGUUUUAAGCAUAAUAAUGCUGAUAAAUGUAUAUAUUUUAAAUUUACGAAUGAUUUUGGUGUGAUUAUAUGCUUGUAUGUUGAUGACUUGCUUAUCUUUGGGACAAAUAUGCAAGGAGUAGAUGAUACAAAGAAGUAUUUAACUUCACAAUUUAAGAUAAAAGAUCUUGGUGAAGUAGAUACUAUCUUAGGUGUCAAAGUGAAGAAACAUAGUGAGGGUUACUCGUUGUGUCAAUCUCAUUAUAUAGAGAAAGUGCUUCUUAAAUUCAAUUAUUUGAAAUUUAAAGAAGCUAAUACCCCAUAUGAUUCUAGUAUUAAAUUAUUAGAGAAUUCAGGCCGAGUAGUAGCACAACUAGAAUAUGCUAGUGCUAUUGGUAGCUUGAUGUAUGCUAUGCAUUGUACGAGGCCUGAUAUAGCAUUUGCAGUUUGCAAAAUGUCAAGAUUCACGAGUAACCCUAGUGUUGAACACUGGAAAGCAAUUGGUAGAAUACUUGGUUAUCUUAAAAGGACCAUUCAUUUGGGUUUAUUUUAUAAUGAUUAUCCUGAAGUACUGGAAGGAUAUUCAGAUGCUAGUUGGGUAACCAAUACAAGAGAUAAUAAAUCCACUUCUGGUUGGAUUUUUACAAUUGUUGGAGGAGCAGUUUCCUGGGCUUCAAAGAAACAAACGUACAUAACUCAUUCAACAAUGGAAAGUGAGUUUAUAGCACUCGCAGUUGCAAGCAAGGAAGUAGAAUGACUGAGAAAUUUGUUGUUUGAUAUAAUGUUAUGGCCACAACCGAUGCCAUAUAUUUCUUUGUACUGCGAUAGUGAAGCUACAUUGUCUAGAGCUUAUAAUAAAGUGUAUAAUGGAAAGUCUAGACAUAUUAGCUUGAGACAUGAAUAUGUGAAACAAUUAAUAGCAGAUGGUGUUAUUAAUAUUGUUUAUGUUAGGACUAAUAAGAACCUAGCGGAUCCUUUAAUAAAAGGUCUUACAAGAGACUUAGUUAAGGAUACAUCUUUUGGAAUGGGAUUGAAACCUUUAAAUAAUAAAGUCACCAACGACGAUAACCCAACUAUGUAGUAGUUGUACCGCUACUCCAUAGUUAAAUGGAUAAUAACAAGUUGUUGUUAUGUGACUGGUUUGGCACCGAGUAAUAAAUAAUCACAUUCGAGAUAUUCGGUGCAAAUAGCUACGAGGUUGAGGUUGAGUAUUUAUUCUUAAUGAAGUUCAAGUCUUAUAGUAGCUAAAGACAUGAUUUGAAACUUCACCUAAGUGAACAUAAGAAAUGGUGCCGUUUCUAACAAGAUCAUGGUUUAAUCUAGUAAAUGUUCAUGAAUUCAAGAUAGAGCACAAGGCCGGAAUAGUGCUAAAUAUUGGAACACAACUUUGAAAAUCUGGGAUAGCUUAUAUGUGAUGUAUCUCCGGUAUUUACUUAAGAGACAAAGUUUAAUGCUUAGCACAUUAUUGUCUUGUAAAUGCUUUGAAAUACACUCACUAAUUAAAGGUUAAAAUCGAAAGAUAUCUUUUUGUAUGUAUAAGUUUAUCAUUAAUAAAUAUGAAAAAUAUUACAAUCUAGUGGGGGAUUGUAAGAGAGAUUGUAACAUUUUCAAUCUUUCGUUUGAUAUUCUGGAAGAAAACGGUUUGCCGUUUAUGGAGAAAACGGCUAACUGUUUAAUUCCAAAUAGCAUGUUUUCUGUUCUAGAGAAAACGACUAACUAUUUGGAGAAAAUGGCUAACUGUUUAAUUCUAGAGAGCAUGUUUUCUGUUCUAGAGAAAGCGGCUAACCGUUUGGAUAAAACGACCAACCGUUAAUUACAGAGAGCAACUUAUUUGACAUUCUGGAAUAAAACGGCUCACCGUUAUUGAGAAAACGGCUAACCGUUUAUUUCCAGAAAGCGUGUUUUUGCGUCAAUUGGAAAAACGGUUAGCAAGCUUGGAAAUUUCAAUUGUCAAUCGAUGCAAACUCAAACCAAAAGAGUGUUUUUUUGAAGAAGUACAAUUUCUAAUGGUUGUAUUCUUUCAAAUAAACAUCUUCUUUAUUAAAGAUAGACAAACAAUUAGAUCAUAAUCAGAUUUUGCAGGUUUCAUAUAUGUUCUGGAAAUACAAUAGAUCAUAAUCAGAUUUUGCAGGUUUCAUAUAUGUUCUGGAAAUACAAUCUUAUUUGCUAGAGAUUGUAUUCAUGAUUUGAUAUAUCUUGGGGGUAAUUUACCAUUAAAACUCUAUAGCAAACCAAGAUUGGUGAGGACAAAUAAAACCUUAAAGGAAAGUGUGCAAACACGUCUCAAAUCCUAAGAAUUGUUUUUUGUUCUUUGCCUCCAUAUUCUUAAAAUUCGAAAAUUCACCCAUCAUAUACAUACUACAUAUUAUUAACUUUUGUUUUAUAACUAUAGUGUUUUUUUUUUACCGCAACUGUAGUUUAAAAACUACAGCACCUCAAUCCCAAACAAGACCUUAGUGGAAGCGAGCGCAAAAGCCGAUCACCCAACAUUCGCGCUUGUGAGAGACUCCACUCUCUCCACUCAUUCCAAAUCCAAAAUCCUCGACCGUUUCAAAAAUCUCGGCGUCAAUUUAGUUCUUGUGCGCCACUCUUUUAGCUUUCCAAUUUUCCCGCCAAUUUUCUUUUAUUGUGAUUAAUUAAUUAAUUAAUUAAUUAAAGUAAAGAUUUUAUAUUAUAAUUUUGUUUGCAGGGAGAUCUAUACAGCCAUGAGAGCUUGGUGAGUGCAAUAAAGCAAGUGGAUGUUAAGGUAAUGAUUAACUUAAGUAAAUGCGUUAACUAAUUACUUGGGAUUUUAAAUUCAAAUGCGUGAAUUGUUCUAAAAAAUGAUUUAUGUUUAUUAGUCAGAGAUUCUUUCCUUCAGAAUUUGGAAAUGAUGUUGAUCGCGUGCAUGCCGUUGAGCCAGCAAGAACAUCAUUUGCCACCAAGGCUAAAAUCCGCCGAGCUGUUGAGGCUGAAGGAAUUCCAUACACCUACGUAGCUUCCAAUUUCUUCGCUGGUUUGUAUCUUUCCAGUUUCUCACAGCCUGAAGCCACAGCUCCUCCAAGGGAUAAAGUGGUCAUCGUAGGUGAUCGAAAUGCAAAAGGCAAAGCGCUUCUGGAUACAUUUACUCUGUACACGCAAUGUGUGGUUACUGUUUGGGGAUAAAAAAGGAGAUUAAUUAAUAAAGAAAAUGAAAUUAUUGAGGGAUUUGCUGAAGAGUUGCGUGCACUCCUCAUUUUUCUCCACCACUCAUCUUACUUGCAAAAUGCAAUGACCAAACUAUCCUCGCCAAAGCCUAGACAUUUACUUGUGUUCAAAGGCCAUUUAAGAGAGACAAGUACAAAAAAUUAUAAAGGAUAGUGAGCAAAAGAAGAAAAUGGAAGGAGGGGAGAAUAAAAAAUGGGAGUGGGGCGUUAUCUAGGGAGGAUUUUUAUUUUUAUUUUUUUUCCUCUCUUCUCCAUGGCAUCUCUUUCUCUCUUUCUCCCACUAAGAAAUUCUUUCUUUUACACUCUAUUUUACUUUUAUUCAAAUUACACAAAAAACUUUUGGUUUUAAGGCAAUGUUUAUUAAGCCACGUGAAUUUGAAAAAGCAGGAAUAAGGGGAUGAUUUUAACACAUUAAUUCACCAACAUUAAUUGGAAAAGAUCAGUUGCCACUUCGAAUCAGAGUAAUUUCUUCGGCAAUAGCCAAAUAUUGAUAUUUGAUCUUGACACUGUAGUUAAAUCAAUGUAACUGGUUUUGUCAUUUGAUCCCCAGUAAUUUUUAACAAGGAAGACGAUAUUGGAAUUAAUUCUAUCAAAGCGGUGGAUGAUCCGAGAACACUGAACAAAAUACUUUACAUCAGACCCCGUUGCAAUAUCUACUCAUUUAAUGAUCUUGUGUCUCUGUGGGAGGAAAAGAUUGGCAAAGCCCUUGACAGGGUCUAUGUUACAGAGGAACAACUUCUGAAAAACAUUCAAGGUUAGUUAGAACUAUCACUUUAUCAAGUGCAUAGAUGUAACUGACCGAUAAUGGAAUUUUUUUUCCUUCUCCAAAAUGCGAUAGAAUCUAAUCGGUUUCAACAAUCUCAAGAACACCUAUUCAUGGUUGUGUUGUUUGAAAUCUGUAUGUAUCAGUUUUCUUUCUAGAUCUCAGAUUGCUCGCAAGGAUGUCAAGUUUUGAUGAUGCUUGCCUGUUUUCCUGUGUUUACAGAAGCUUCAUAUCCACUCAAUAUGAUAUUACCUAUUGGGCACUCUGCCUAUGUCCUGGGAGAUCAGACCAACUUCGAAAUUGAACCUUCAUUUGGAGUAGAGGCAACAGAGCUUUAUCCAGAUGUCAACUACACUACUGUGGAUGAGUACCUCAACCAGUUCAUAUAAACCUUCUGAGAUGAGCAGCAGGAUCCUAACAAAAAAUUGGGUGGUUUCCAUCCCUGAUUCUAUGGUAUAAAGAUAGCGGCUUUCCCUGCUUUUGCCAGUUCAAUGAAGUUUGUUAGAUGAUGUUAUUUAUACUAUACUAGCAAAGAUCAAGUUGCCUUUCUUGUCAAGAAGCCAAGCUCUGGCAUUGGUUUAUGCUAGUUUUUCAUGUUUAUUACUUUUUUUGCAUUCAAAAUGAUAAAACUGCAGAGGUUGUUGCAUGCACGUCAUUUGUUAGUAGGGGUAUCAAUUUAUGAACGUAUGAAGUAUCUCUUCUGCAACGGCAUCCUCCUUAACUGUCAGUAGGAUCACAAUAAGUCGACCAACCAUCUACCGUAUGGAUUAUCUAUAAAUUGAAAUUGGUGUGUAUUAUGGAUCUGUCACUCUGCUGUUUCUGUUUUCUUUUCUAUUUUUACCAAGAAAGAAACAUUGUUAAAACUGAAUGGUUGUUAUCUCGUCUUGUUGUAAUGUUGUGUAUGCUUUCUAGAAAAUAAUGAAGUGCCAAAUAUGAAAAUACUAGUGGCUACCUUACCAUCCUUAAUAAGUUGUCUGAUUGUCACCGUCAACAAUCACUCUCAGCAACUCAUAAUCCAUUUAAGCAUAUUAUAAAAUAAUCAAUUUUGUAUUUGCACCAACUUUUAGUUUUAAAUGACAAUUUCGUUGAUCCCCACACUUCUGUACUAAUCAAAUCCACUGAAACUGGACUUUUUUUUCUUUUUUUUUAUAAUUACAUCGAUUGCAUUGGCUAUUGCAGGGAAAAGACUGCCUCUACAGGGAACUAAACUUUCAGAAUUGUUCUUAUGAGGGUUUGAAUAUGCUCUCGUACUAGGUCAAUGGCCUAUUGGUUCGAGACCAUUCACAAAGAAAGAAAUGAGUUUUGCUUGUAUAAAUGAAAGAAAUCCAAAUGAUAACUAAUGUAUAGUGGUACAUGAGAAAAAUAAUUUCAGCCCGUGUAAAGUCAAAAAGAGAAAAUAUUAAAAGAAAGGAUAAUGUCAUUGAGUUCGGUGAAGUGAAAGAAAAUGAAAAACAUGGGAUUUAGUCAAACUUAGUGUCCCAAUCAGCAGAAAAAGGUUUUAGAAACUCACCUCAAGUUAAGCCAACUAUUAGGAGCUUUAUUUAAUCAUGACUUUCUAAUGUAUAGUACUCCAAUACUAAACGAGGGCUACCUCUACGCUUGCAAUUGUAAAUGAAAUUGAGUUCGUGACGCACAAUGAAGUGAGCAAAAUGAGUUGAGAUCUGAGAAUAUAUUAAAGAAAAUAUGAAUCAAUGAAUUUUGGUUAAAAAAAACAAAUGCUGGUUCUUCAAGACCUGCGUGUAUUGUGUAAGUUUUGUUAGGAGAAGGAAAGCAUUUUGGUCUAAAACGCACUAAAUCGGAUUCAUUUGCUUGAUAUCUAAUAAGGGUGAAUUAACCACUCGCCCACAGCAAUUCAAGUCCCAAAAAAAUUAUUGUGGGGGCUAAAUUUCUUCUUUAAUUAUAACAAAUAAUUGAGUGGAGGAUAAAAAUUUAGGCCAUGUAUAACAAUAACUAAUAUAAACUAGUCCUAAUAAUAGUAUAAUUGUAAAUAUCAGUUGUAGUCUCAUACAAUAUAAGUUUAUAGAUUAUAAUAUCGGCAUAAAAAGAAAAAUGAUAUCUGACGGUCAAUCAAUAAAAGGACAAAAACUUGGAGUAACAUACCACAAAGUCAAUGUAGCUGGACAGAUGAAUAUAAUAUGUAAACAAAUUUAAAUGGGAUAAUACCAUACGGUACAUACAUAACAUUUUAAAACUGAAUUAAAAAAAUAAAAUUAAAACUGAAUUGGAAUUCGUAUGUGUAUCCAGCUACCUUGCAACAGUUGUAAGGUACCCUAACUUUGCAACAAUUUCAUCCUUCGUGCAUUCGGUCACAAAGUCCAAAUUAGGCACGUUUAAGAAUCGAACUGAAAAACUAAAAAAAAAGAAUCCGGCGAUAUUUGCGAACCGGAAACGAGCCAGCGUUAUGCUUAUGUCAUUUCAGAGAUAUCAACAGUCGUGCUUUCAGUCCUUAAACCUCAAGGGCAUUUUCGUCCUUUCACUCAAGCGUGAAACUGCAUGUAAGAACUGCUUCGCUUACACGCUCCAUGCACAUUUAAAGGCACCACUGUCGGAUAAAAAAUAUCCAUCCAUUUGAUCAUUUCAAAACAAAACGAAAAAAAAAAUCUCAGUAAUUGAACUGAACGAGUCUCAGAAAUGGCAUCGAAAAGUAAGAUUCUAUUCAUCGGCGGGACAGGGUAUAUCGGUAAAUUCACUGUCGAAGCGAGCGUAAAAGCCGGCCACCCGACGUUCGUGCUCGUGAGAGAAUCCACAAUCUCUGGUCCUUCCAAAUCUCAACUCCUCGAUCACUUCAAAAACCUCGGCGUCAAUCUUGUCAUAGUGCGUUUUCAUUUUUCUCUUUUCUUUAUUUUUUAUUCCGAUCAUUUUUACACGUCGAAGUGUAGCAUCUACUACUUAAUAUACAUAAUGAUAUUAUUAUUUUUUAAUUUUUUUGGGUUGCUGUUAUUAUUAUACAGGGAGAUGUGUUGAAUCACGAGAGUUUGGUGAAGGCGAUAAAACAAGUGGACGCGGUGAUAUCAACAGUUGGUCACACUUUAAUAGCCGAUCAGGUCAAGAUUAUUGCUGCCAUUAAAGAAGCCGGUAACGUUAAGGUAUGACAUAAUUAAUGUAAAUGUCUUAGAUUUCGAUCAGGAUUGUGCACUCGUGCACACGUGGUGAUUUAUUCUUCGUGUGGAGCUCGCUGUAGAGUAGAGCUCCCAGUUCCGCUAAUAAACACCCGUCAGAUGCGCAAUUGCGCCUCAAAAUAAUUUAAUUAAUUAAUUAGGUAUAAACACCGAUGGCAUGAAAGCAAUUAAAAUUAGUUGAUGUUUAUAAAUUAUUUAUUACUCAGAGAUUCUUACCAUCGGAAUUUGGAAAUGAUGUUGAUCGAGUCGAAGGCGCCGUAGAGCCAACAAAAUCGACGUAUGACGUAAAGGCGAAAAUCCGCCGAGCCGUUGAGGCAGAAGGCAUUCCGUACACUUACGUAGAAUCUUAUUGUUUUGAUGGGUAUUUCCUCCCCAAUUUGUUGCAGCCUGAGGCCACUGCCCCCCCUAGGGAUAAGGUUGUCAUCUUAGGCGAUGGAAAUCCAAAAGGUAAUAUAAUUUAAUUAAGCUCUGUUUGUUUGGUAUGUAUUGCGGUGUUAAUGUUAUUGUCUGUUGUACAAUGGAUGGUCUUGCUUGGUACUGUUGUUGGAGAGCUGCAGUGUUUUGAUAAACACCUCUAUAGUCUAUCCUUAUCCUUAGCUUUCAAGUUAAGUUGAUUUUAUACAACACUUGUUUAAUUAAAAACUUGUAAUAUUCUUACUACUUUGAUAAAAAAAAUAUUACGAUUAAAGUAUUAAUGGCACCAUAAUACGAAAUGAAUCUUAAGUGGUCAUUAUAGAUUUUAAGAUAGAGUUUUAAGUGAUUACCAGAUACUUUAGCUGCUGAACCGCCACAUCAUGGUUGCCACACAACAAUUUCAAACAGAACCUAAAUAACUUCAUUGCAAAACAGUUAAAUGAAUCUAACUUAGUUUCGUCGUUUGAUUUUCAGCUGUUUUUAACAAGGAAGAUGAUAUUGGAACCUACACUAUCAAAGCGGUUGAUGAUCCGAGAACCUUGAACAAAAACUUUUACAUUCAGCCUCCCGGUAAUAUUUACUCAUUCAAUGAUCUUGUGUCUCUGUGGGAGAGAAAGAUUGGUAAAACCCUCGAAAAGGAGUAUGUUUCAGAGGAGCAGCUCCUAAAGAAUAUUCAAGGUUGGUUAAAACUCUCUUUUUUAAAUGUAUUAAAGAGAGCCGUAUAUUCUCUGCCGUAAAUGUUAUUGAUCCUGUCUUCUCCAAAAUGUUGCAGAAGCUGCACCUCCACACAAUGUGAUAUUAUCAAUUUAUCACUCUGCUUUCGUGAAGGGAGUUCAAACCAACUUCAAGAUUGAACCAUCUUUUGGAGUUGAAGCCUCGCAGCUUUAUCCUGAUGUCAAGUACACUACAGUUGAUGAGUACCUCAAUCAGUUUGUGUAACCCUUCUCUGUUUCCAGCUGCAGCUUGCAGGAUCUUGGACUCUUGGUAAAUAAAUAAUUGGCUUGUUGCCAUCUUUGGUUUUAUAUGUAAAAAUUAUGGUUGUUGGCCUUACUUUCUUCUGGUUGUCCAUGGAAUUUGUUAGACCAUAUUAUGUUUGCUAUGUCAGUGAUCAAAUGAAGUAGGCCAUGUACUUGAUUUGAGAGUAGUAGUUAUAAAAAGCCAUCAUGAUCAGGUGGGUGCGUGGGUUGGGCUUCUAUUAGGGUGCGUGUGUUGGGCUUCAGGGGCUUGUGAUAUGGGUUCGACAGCCCCUAACGGGCAGUCAUUAUAAAAAUAAUUAUAGAGUUACAAAUCUAUGUAAAAAGCAAAAAUUAAAAGUAAUUUAUCAAUAAAAAUAAUUAAAAUUAAUAAAAAGUAGGUAUGAUAUUUCAGAAAUUAAAUUAAAGAUAGCAUUCUAAAGAGUUGGAUAAUCCUCCAACUAAACUAAAGAUCUAGUACAUUUGAGAGCAAAUUUAAUUAAAGAAAAGGAUAAGGAAAAACAAUAGAAUAAUAAUAUUAAAAAUUGCAAAUCUUGGUCUUUUUUUUUUACGAUGAUGUUGAUUUCUUAUAAAUUUAAUCUUAUCUAUAGAAUUAUUUAGUUACUGUAUGUCAAAAUUUCCUAUAAAGAUGAAGAAAAAUUAUAUUAGGAGAAGAUCCAAAUCCGUUUAACUGAUGCAUCAUCAACAACAUGAGUACAACAUUUUCGAAUAAACAAAAGAAACUCGUUUUAUGUGCGAACCAGUUCCAAAAUAAAGAGCAGACUAUUGGAAGGAGACAAAUACUACAAGAAGAACAAAACAUUCUACAGUUCCUACAUGAGCCCGCAACAAUUAAUUAUUAACUCGACAUUCAUUACACUUUUUCUUUAAUUUGACAAAGAAACCAAAAAUAAGAUAAAAUUGACUAAGAAAUAAAAAAAUGACCAAAAUCUUUUUGAAGUUUUGCCAGUUCAGCCAUGCACGCUUAUCUUUAUUCACUUGUUUCCUUUCUUUCCUGGAGCCUUCACAAAUCCUUUACCUUUCUGAGCCUUGCCAAUUUUCCCCUUCUUCAAACCACCUGGCCUUGCUGGAUCCACGUGUCCUUGCAUCCUUUUUCAUUCGUGGAUCAACAAGAAUCUCCCCCUUUCCAACUCUCUCUUGAACUCCUUUCUUUGCGACCAUGUAUUCUUUUGUAGGCCUUUUGGGUAUAGUUGUCUUGUAUAAUUGUUCAAUUUGAUUCCUCUUCGAACGAUCAGAGAUGUCCGCUUAGUCUAAUAUGACAUUUGCCUUCUUGCGAACCUUCUCAAGAUUUCGCAUGGCAACCCGUAUCUUUCGAGCUUUGGUCUUAGCCACCUUCUUGGCAAUAAGGGUGGGCGAUUCGGUUUUGGGAUAAACUUUUGGUUUCGUAUCGGUUUAGAUUCAAAAAUAGUAUAAAAAAAUAUUUAGAUUUUAUGGGAAAAAAUCUGAACCGAAACUGACCUAUCGAUUUCGUCUCGGUUUCAGUUUAGUUUCGAUUCUCCUAAUAGUUUUGUUUUGCCUUAUUGACUUCCGGUCAAGGACACUUUUGAAAAAUUUACAAACAAAAAAAAAUUGGCCAUAACAAAAUUUCUAUAUGUAAAUAUUUCCUAAACAUUGGGCUAUACUAAAUUUUUUUAAAAGGUAGGGAUCCAAACGAUAUUAUCCCUCUACUUCAUCUUCAACCUUCGUCACUUAGCAGCUACCACAGUAUCGAAAUGGAAAAACUAAAAAAGCACCGUAGGAUACGCAUAUCCACACAUAUCUAAUAAAACUAAAUAUUAUUAAUAAUUUAGUAUAGUAAUAAUAAAACAAGACAAACAUGAAAUUAGAAAAGACUAAAGAGCUUUUUAAGAAAAAAGCCAUUUAAAAAACGAAAAAUAGCAAGUUAUUUGGCUAGUUAACUGGCGACAGAAGUAAUGGAAAGAAGCAACAACGGCAGCGGCAGGUCAACAACGAAGAUUCAGCAGCACCGACCACCCACAGACUUGGAUUCGAUUGCAAAGUUGGGACUUAGGAUUUGGGUUUGUGGCUGCUGAAAUUGAAAGCGAGAGAGUAGAAAGUAGAGACUGAGAGUGGUGCAAACAUGUGUAAUUCUGUGUGUGUGUGUGUCUAUAUAUAUAUAUAUAUAUAUAUAUAUAUAUAUAUAUAUAUAUAUAAUGUGAAAUUAUAAAAAUGCCAUUAUAUCGGUUCGAUUCGAAUUUUGUAACUUGUGAUCCGAAAACUGAACCAAAUCGAAUCAUUUGGUUUGGUAUUUAUAUAUUCGGGUUUUUAAUUUAAAAAAAACUAAAUUAAAACUGAAAAAACCAGAACCGAAUUUUUUUUUUUUUUUUUGUUUCGGUUCAAUUCUGCCCAUCCCAACUUAGUAGGCUGGGCAUCAAUUUCUUUGAAUUGUGCUUUCAUUGCAGUAAUCUCCUCCUUGGUAAUAGGUUUAAUUGCUUACUGAUGCCUCAUUUCCUCUAGUAACAACUAGUCUAACAAGUCAUCAUCGUCAAACAUGUACCUAUUAUAAGCAUCAUCCAGAAUUUGCUCUCUUUGCAUUUUGCUUAGUGUCUUCUUUGCACAAGCUAAUAUCUCAGCUUUUUGUAUCAAUAUCUUUAUCUUUUGAUUCACCAGCGGAUGAAUCAUCACCGGAAUAGAGUGGUGAAGGCCCCAUAGAUCAGUGUGAUCAAGUUCUAGUGUAGUUUUGGUUUUGAUUUCAGUAUUAGGAAAAUGAAGCCUAUGAAAUUUACCAAGCUAACAUGCUUCACAAAAGUGCUUUAAUACUUGACUAUGAAUACUUGAAGACGAUAAAUGAGGAUAAAUAAAUUUAAGGCAAAUGUUAUGUUACAAUUAAUGUAACAUACACACUCAAUAACAACCACACAAAUUUUGUGGGCCCAUUAUUUGUGUGGUUGUUGUUGAGUGUGUAUGUUACAUUAAUUGUAACAUAGGGGCUCCCUAAAUUUAAAUAUGCAUUAGAUUUUGAGGGUUGGGAUGUCAAAACUUUUGGUGAAAAAGAGUUAGUACAAGCAUUUUUAUUGAGAUUUAAAACAUUUCUUAAGAUGAUCAAUGCUAGUUACAGAAUAGGAAUGAAAAAAAAAGGCAACAUAGACAAAGGUUUGUUUAUUUGAUUGUAAGAUAGAAAAGACUUGUAUUUAGGUUGUGGAAAGGAUUUGAGCAGCAAUUUAUACAACCUUUUCUCAGCAAAACCUUCCUCUUCAAUGAAUCCUUCACAAAACAAAUAGAUCCAAGAAAUUUGACAAAUAAAUUGUUGUCAAUGGUAAGUUUUGAAAUGCUUAAUAGAUUCUUUGUAAUGGAUGGAACAAACAAUACAUCCUUAAGUAAAAUAUGUCUUAUAUUAUCUUUUUUUUUAAUUAUUUUUAAAAAAUAAGUGAAUAAUAGUAUGUCAAUCUCAAAUAUCAAUAUGUACAAUUUUUAUUUGUGUAAGAAUUUGCAUCCAAUAAUCAUCAAUACAUAAUUGUCUUUUAAUUUAAUUGUUCUCACCUCCCUUCCAAACUUUGAAAAGGUAAAAUAAGAUCAAUCAUGUCGGUGGCAAUUAAUAUAAGGAUUACUUUUCUUAUUUGUAGUAACGUCCUCUGAUUAUUUAGCUGAUUUUCAAGCUACACAUUUAUUCCAUUUGAUGUUGAUAUUAGUAAAAUUAAUGUAAUAUUUAAAAAGGAAAAAAAUCCGUCGAGCUAAAAGCUGAGUAUAAAAUUGAACCCGACCCAAACCAGAAACGCACGCCAACAGCAUGCUUGCGUCAGUCGGCCCAAGCCCAUAAACCCACCAAGCCCAAUCCAAAUAGAAAAAUGAAUUGGAUGCCCGAGAUAGCACAAACAGAUAAGUAACGCUAGCGCUAUCCCCAGUCUCAUAUCUUCAACGGUAUCCAGCCAACAUCUCAAAGUGUUCAAUUUUUUUUUGAAGCUAAAAAAAAAAUUCAAAAUUUUCAAGUGGAAUCUGGGAAGAUGGCAACAAAAAGCAAGAUUCUGGUUAUCGGCGGAACCGGAUACAUAGGUAAGUACUUAAGGUGCGUUUGAAAUUGAAGUUGGACAGGUAUAACUUUAAAACUGCAGCACUAAAAUGUUUGGUAAACACUAACUAUUGUAACUUAAAAACUAUUUAAUAUAAUUUUUCACUUGUAUAAUAAAAAAUUUAUUAUAUCUUUAAUAAUUUUAUCAAAAUUAUUAUUUAAAAUAUAUACAUACUACAUAUUAUUAAUUUUUGUUUUAUAACUAUAAUUUUUUUCCUACCGCAACUGUAAUUUAAAAACUACAGCACCUCAAUCCCAAACAAGACUUUAGUGGAUGCGAGCGCGAAAGACGAUCACCCAACAUUUGCGCUUGUGAGAGACUCCACUCUCUCCACUCCUUCCAAAUCCAAAAUCCUCGACCGUUUCAAAAAUCUCGGCGUCAAUUUAGUUCCUGUGCGCCACUCUUUUAGCUUUCCAUUUUUCCUGCCAAUUUUCUUUUAUUGUGAUUAAUUAAUUAAUGUAAAGAUUUUAUAUUAUAAUUUUGUUUUCAGGGAGAUCUAUACAGCCAUGAGAGCUUGGUGAGUGCAAUAAAGCAAGUGGAUGUGGUGAUAUCAGCGAUAGGUCGCACUCAAUUAGCUGAUCAACUCAACAUUAUCGCAGCAAAUUGCGAUAACUAAUUACUUGGGAUUUUAAAGAAGCUGGAAAUGUUAAGGUACUGAUUAACUUAAGUAAAUGCGUUAACUAAUUACUUGGGAUUUUAAAUUCAAAUGCGUGAAUUGUUCUAAAAAAUGAUUUAUGUUUAUUAGUCAGAGAUUCUUUCCUUCAGAAUUUGGAAAUGAUGUUGAUCGCGUGCAUGCCGUUGAGCCAGCAAGAACAUCAUUUGCCACCAAGGCUAAAAUCCGCCGAGCUGUUGAGGCUGAAGGAAUUCCAUACACCUACGUAGCUUCCAAUUUCUUCGCUGGUUUGUAUCUUUCCAGUUUCUCACAGCCUGGAGCCGCAGCUCCUCCAAGGGAUAAAGUGGUCAUCGUAGGUGAUGGAAAUGCAAAAGGCAAAGCGCUUCUGGAUACAUUUACUCUGUACACGCAGUGUGUGGUUACUGUUUAGGGAUAAAAAAGGAGAUUAAUUAAUAAAGAAAAUGAAAUUAUUGAGGGAUUUGCUGAAGAGUUGCGUGCACUCCUCAUUUUUCUCCACCACUCAUCUUACUUGCAAAAUGCAAUGACCAAACUAUCCUCGCCAAAGCCUAGACAUUUGCUUGUGUUCAAAGGCCAUUUAAGGGAGACAAGUACAAAAAAUUAUAAAGGAUAGUGAGCAAAAGAAGAAAAUGGAAGGGGGAGAGUAAAAAAGGGGAGUGGGGCGUUAUCCAGGGAGGAUUUUUAUUUUUAUUUUUUUCCUCUCUUCUCCAUGGCAUCUCUUUCUCUCUUUCUCCCACUAAGAAAUUCUUUCUUUUACACUCUAUUUUACUUUUCUACAAAUUACACAAAAAGCUUUUGGUUUUAAGGCAAUGUUUAUUAAGCCACAUGAACUUGAAAAAGCAUGAAUAAGGGGAUGAUUUUAACACAUUAAUUCACCAACAUUAAUUGGAAAAGAUCAGUUGCCACUUCGAAUCAGAGUAAUUUCUUCGGCAAUAGCCAAAUAUUGAUAUUUGAUCUUGACACUGUAGUUAAAUGAAUGUAACUGGUUUUGUCAUUUGAUCCCCAGCAUUUUUUUAACAAGGAAGACGAUAUUGGAAUCAAUUCUAUCAAAGCGGUGGAUGAUCCAAGAACACUGAACAAAAUACUUUACAUCAGACCCCGUUGCAGUAUCUACUCAUUCAAUGAUCUUGUGUCUCUGUGGGAGGAAAAGAUUGGCAAAGCCCUUGACAGGGUCUAUGUUACAGAGGAACAACUUCUGAAAAACAUUCAAGGUUAGUUAGAACUAUCACUUUAUUCGUUACUGAUGACAACACAUGGAGAAAUUUUCCUUGGUCUUAUCAAGUGGAUAGAUGUAACUGACCGAUAAUGGAAAAUUUUUUCCUUCUCCAAAAUGCGAUAGAAUCUAAUCGGUUUCAACAAUCUCAAGAACAUCUAUUCAUGGUUGUGUUGUUUGAAAUCUGUAUGUAUCAGUUUUCUUUCUAGAUCUCAGAUUGCUCGCAAGGAUGUCAAGUUUUGAUGAUGCUUGCCUGUUUUCCUGUGUUUACAGAAGGCUCAUAUCCACUCAAUAUGAUAUUAUCUAUUGGGCACUCUGCCUAUGUCCUGGGAGAUUAGACCAACUUCGAAAUUGAACCUUCAUUUGGAGUAGAGGCAACCGAGCUUUGUCCAGAUGUCAACUACACUACUGUGGAUGAGUACCUCAACCAGUUCAUAUAAACCUUCUGAGAUGAGCAGCAGGAUCCUAACCAAAAAUUGGGUGGUUUCCAUCCCUGAUUCUAUGGUAUAAAGAUAGCGGCUUUCCAUGCUUUUGCCAGUUCAAUGAAGUUUGUUAGAUGAUGUUAUUUAUACUAUACUAGCAAAGAUCAAGUUGCCUUUCUUGUCAAGAAGCCAAGCUCUGGCAUUGGUUUAUGCUAGUUUUUCACACUAAUAUUGGUAUUCACUAAUUUUUUUUUUUUCAUUUCACACCUCCAUCAUCAGUUGAGAUACCCUCUUGUAUGGUACUAACUUUGAUUUUCCUUAUGCUUCACUUGCUGUCUCUGCAGAUUCGUAAAAGAUCAUUCAUGGAUAAGAUCAGAACAUCAAUGUAAUACAGUAUGCAUUGAGAACUCCCACAUGAGUCUUGUUCUAGUUCUCGUUAGACAUGAAACAUGUUACAGUUCCAUAACUUGAGACAUUGUCAUUCAACAAUUAUCAUCGCAUUAAAACAGUGGCCAAUCCCUAACAGCUACCUUUUGACUCUUCACAUUUUUUUUCUGCAUUUUAUGCGCAUUAAUUAUCCAGACCUAGACUUACUCUUCUCAGCUUGGCCCGUUGGACAGUGAGUGAUGAAACAGAAAAUUUUUCAUGUUUAUGAAUGUAUGAAGUAUCUCUUCUGCACUGCACCGGCAUCCUCCUUAACUGUCAGUAGGAUCACAAUAAGUCGACCAACCAUCUACCGUAUGGAUUAUCUAUAAAUUGAAAUUGGUGUGUAUUAUGGAUCUGUCACUCUGCUGCUUCUGUUUUCUUUUCUAUUUUUACCAAGAAAGAAACAUUGUUAAAACUGAAUGGUUGUUAUCUCGUCUUGUUGUAAUGUUGUGUAUGCUUUCUAGAAAAUAAUGAAGUGCCAAAUAUGAAAAUACUAGUGGCUACCUUACCAUCCUUAAUAAGUUGUCUGAUUGUCACCGUCAACAAUCACUCUCAGAAACUCAUAAUCCAUUUAAGCAUAUUAUAAAAUAAUCAAUUUUGUAUUUGCACCAACUUUUAGUUUUAAAUGACAAUUUCGUUGAUCCCCUCACACUUCUGUACUAAUCAAAUCCACUGAAACUGGACUUUUUUUUUUUUUUUUUUAUAAUUACAUCGAUUGCAAUGGCUAUUGCAGGGAAAAGACAGCCUCUACAGGGAACUAAACUUUCAGAAUUGAUCUUAUGAGGGUUUGAAUAUGCUCUCGUACUAGGUCAAUGGCCUAUUGGUUCGAGACCAUUCACAAAGAAAGAAAUGAGUUUUGCUUGUAUAAAUGAAAGAAAUCCAAAUGAUAACUAAUGUAUAGUGGUACAUGAGAAAAAUAAUUUCAGCCCCUGUGUAAAGUCAAAAAGAGAAAAUAUUAAAAGAAAGGAUAAUGUCAUUGAGUUCGGUGAAGUGAAAGAAAAUAAAAAACAUGGGAUUUAGUCAAACUUAGUGUCCCAAUCAGCAGAAAAAGGUUUUAGAAACUCACCUCAAGUUAAGCCAACUAUUAGGAGCUUUAUUUAAUCAUGGCUUUCUAAUGUAUAGUACUCCAAUACUAAACGAGGGCUACCUCUACGCUUGCAAAUGUAAAUGAAAUUGAGUUCGUGACGCACAAUGAAGUGAGCAAAAUGAGUUGAGAUCUGAGAAUAUAUUAAAGAAAAUAUGAAUCAAUGAAUUUUGGUUAAAAAAAACAAAUGCUGGUUCUUCAAGACCUGCGUGUAUUGUGUAAGUUUUGUUAGGAGAAGGAAAGCAUUUUGGUCUAAAACGCACUAAAUCGGAUUCAUUUGCUUGAUAUCUAAUAAGGGUGAAUUAACCACUCGCCCACAGCAAUUCAAGUACCCAAAAAAGUUUUGUGGGGGCUAAAUUUCUUCUUUAAUUAUAACAAAUAAUUGAGCGGAGGAUAAAAAUUUAGGCCAUGUAUAACAAUAACUAAUAUAAACUAGUCCUAAUAAUAGUAUAAUUGUAAAUAUCAGUUGUAGUCUCAUACAAUAUAAGUUUAUAGAUUAUAAUAUCGGCAUAAAAAGAAAAAUGAUAUCUGACGGUCAAUCAAUAAAAGGACAAAAACUUGGAGUAACAUACCACAAAGUCAAUGUAGCUGGACAGUGAAUAUAAUAUGUAAACAAAUUUAAAUGGGAUAAUACCAUACGGUACAUACAUAACAUUUUAAAACUGAAUUAAAAAAAUAAAAUUAAAACUGAAUUGGAAUUCGUAUGUGUAUCCAGCUACCUUGCCACAGUUGUAAGGUACCCUAACUUUGCAACAAUUUCAUCCUUCGUGCAUUCGGUCACAAAGUCCAAAUUAGGCACGUUUAAGAAUCGAACUGAAAAACUAAAAAAAAGAAUCCGGCGAUAUUUGCGAACCGGAAACGAGCCAGCGUUAUGCUUAUGUCAUUUCAGAGAUAUCAACAGUCGUGCUUUCAGUCCUUAAACCUCAAGGGCAUUUUCGUCCUUUCACUCAAGCGUGAAACUGCAUGUAAGAACUGCUUCGCUUACACGCUCCAUGCACAUUUAAAGGCACCACUGUCGGAUAAAAAAUAUCCAUCCAUUUGAUCAUUUCAAAACAAAACGAAAAAAAAAAUCUCAGUAAUUGAACUGAACGAGUCUCAGAAAUGGCAUCGAAAAGUAAGAUUCUAUUCAUCGGCGGGACAGGGUAUAUCGGUAAAUCCACUGUCGAAGCGAGCGUAAAAGCCGGCCACCCGACGUUCGUGCUCGUGAGAGAAUCCACAAUCUCUGGUCCUUCCAAAUCUCAACUCCUCGAUCACUUCAAAAACCUCGGCGUCAAUCUCGUCAUAGUGCGUUUUCAUUUUUCUCUUUUCUUAAUUUUUUAUUCCGAUCAUUUUUACACGUCGAAGUGUAGCAUCUACUACUUAAUAUACAUAAUGAUAUUAUUAUUUUUUAAUUUUUUUGGGUUGCUGUUAUUAUUAUGCAGGGAGAUGUGUUGAAUCACGAGAGUUUGGUGAAGGCGAUUAAACAAGUGGACGUGGUGAUAUCAACGGUCGGUCACACUUUAUUAGCUGAUCAGGUCAAGAUUAUUGCUGCCAUUAAAGAAGCCGGUAACGUUAAGGUAUAACAUAAUUAAUGUAAAUGUCUUAGAUUCCGAUCAGGAUUGUGCACUCGCGAACACGUGGUGAUUUAUUCUUGGUGUGGAGCUCGCUGUAGAGUAGAGCUCCCAGUUCAGCUAAUAAACACCCCGUCACAUGCGCAAUUGCGCCUCAAAAUAAUUUAAUUGAUUAAUUAAGGAUAAAUACCAAUGGCAUGAAAGCAAUUAAAAUUAGUUGAUGUUUAUAAAUUAUUUAUUACUCAGAGAUUCUUACCAUCGGAAUUUGGAAAUGAUGUUGAUCGAGUUGAAGGCGCCGUAGAGCCAACAAAAUCGACGUAUGACGUAAAGGCGAAAAUCCGCCGAGCCGUUGAGGCAGAAGGCAUUCCGUACACUUACGUAGAAUCUUAUUGUUUUGAUGGCUAUUUCCUCCCCAAUUUGUUGCAGCCUGAGGCCACUGCCCCCCUAGGGAUAAGGUUGUCAUCUUAGGCGAUGGAAAUCCAAAAGGUAAUAUAAUUUAAUUAAGCUCUGUUUGUUUGGUAUGUAUUUCGGUGUUAAUGUUAUUGUCUGUUGUACAAUGGAUGGUCUUGCUUGGUACUGUUGUUGGAGAGCUGCAGUGUUUUGAUAAACACCUCUAUCCUUAGCUUUCAAGUUAAGUUGAUUUUAUACAACACUUGUUUAAUUCAAAACUUGUAAUAUUCUUACUACUUUGAUAAAAAAUAUUACGAUUAAAGCAUUAAUGGCACCAUAAUACGAAAUGAACCUUAAGUGGUCAUUAUAGAUUUUAAGAUAGAGUUUUAAGUGAUUACCAGAUACUUUAGCUGCUGAACCGCCACAUCAUGGUUGCCACACAACAAUUUCAAACAGAGCCUAAAUAACUUCAUUGCAAAACAGUUAAAUGAAUCUAACUUAGUUUCGUCGUUUGAUUUUCAGCUGUUUUUAACAAGGAAGAUGAUAUUGGAACCUACACUAUCAAAGCGGUUGAUGAUCCGAGAACCUUGAACAAAAACUUUUACAUUCAGCCUCCCGGUAAUAUUUACUCAUUCAAUGAUCUUGUGUCUCUGUGGGAGAGAAAGAUUGGUAAAACCCUCGAAAAGGAGUAUGUUUCAGAGGAGCAGCUCCUAAAGAAUAUUCAAGGUUGGUUAAAACUCUCUUUUUUUAAAUGUAUUAAAGAGAGCCGUAUAUUCUCUGCCGUAAAUGUUAUUGAUCCUGUCUUCUCCAAAAUGUUGCAGAAGCUGCACCUCCACACAAUGUGAUAUUAUCAAUUUAUCACUCUGCUUUCGUGAAGGGAGUUCAAACCAACUUCAAGAUUGAACCAUCUUUUGGAGUUGAAGCCUCGCAGCUUUAUCCUGAUGUCAAGUACACUACAGUUGAUGAGUACCUCAAUCAGUUUGUGUAACCCUUCUCUGUUUCCAGCUGCAGCUUGCAGGAUCUUGGACUGUUGGUAAAUAAAUAAUUGGCUUGUUGCCAUCUUUGGUUUUAUAUGUAAAAAUUAUGGUUGUUGGCCUUACUUUCUUCUGGUUGUCCAUGGAAUUUGUUAGACCAUAUUUUGUUUGCUAUGUCAGUGAUCAAAUGAAGUAGGCCAUGUACUUGAUUUGAGAGUAGUAGUUAUAAAGCCAUCAUGAUCAGGUGGGUGCGUGGGUUGGGCUUCUAUUAGGGUGCGUGUGUUGGGCUUCAGGGGCUUGUGAUAUGGGUUCGACAGCCCCUAACGGGCAGUCAUUAUAAAAAUAAUUAUAGAGUUACAAAUCUAUGUAAAAAGCAAAAAUUAAAAGUAAUUUAUCAAUAAAAAUAAUUAAAAUUAAUAAAAAGUAGGUAUGAUAUUUCAGAAAUCAAAUUAAAGAUAGCAUUCUAAAGAGUCGGAUAAUCCUCCAACUAAACUAAAGAUCUAGUACAUUUGAGAGCAAAUUUAAUUAAAGAAAAGGAUAAGGAAAAACAAUAGAAUAAUAAUAUUAAAAAUUGCAAAUCUUGGUCUUUUUUUUUUACGAUGAUGUUGAAUUCUUAUAAAUUUAAUCUUAUCUAUAGAAUUAUUUAGUUACUGUAUGUCAAAAUUUCCUAUAAAGAUGAAGAAAAAUUAUAUUAGGAGAAGAUCCAAAUCCGUUUAACUGAUGCAUCAUCGACAACAUGAGUACAACAUUUUUGAAUAAACAAAAGAAACUCGUUUUAUGUGCGAACCAGUUCCAAAAUAAAGAGCAGACUAUUGGAAGGAGACAAAUACUACAAGAAGAACAAAACAUUCUACAGUUCCUACAUGAGCCCGCAACAAUUCAUUAUUAACUCGACAUUCAUUACACUUUUUCUUUAAUUUGACAAAGAAACCAAAAAUAAGAUAAAAUUGACUAAGAAAUAAAAAAAUGACCGAAAUCUUUUUGAAGUUUUGCCAGUUCAGCCAUGCACGCUUAUCUUUAUUCACUUGUUUCCUUUCUUUCCUUUCUUUGCUGAAGCCUUCACAGAUCCUUUACCUUUCUGAGCCUUGCCAAUUUUCCCCUUCUUCAAACCACCUGGCCUUGCUGGAUCCACGUGUCCUUGCAUCCUUUUUCAUUCGUGGAUCAACAAGAAUCUUCCCCUUUCCAGCUCUCUCUUGAACUCCUUUCUUUGGGACCAGUAUUCUUUUGUCGGCCUUUUGGGUAUAGUUGUCUUGUAUAAUUGUUCAAUUUGAUUCCUCUUCGAACGAUCAGAGAUGUCCGCUUAGUCUGAUAUGACAUUUGCCUUCUUGCGAACCUUCUCAAGAUUUCGCAUGGCAACCCGUAUCUUUCGAGCUUUGGUCUUAGCCACCUUCUUGGCAGUAUGGGUGGGCGAUUCGGUUUUGGGAUAAACUUUUGGUUUCGUAUCGGUUUAGAUUAAAAAAUAAUAUAAAAAAAUAUUUAGAUUUUAAGAGAAAAAAUCCGAACCGAGACUCACCUAUCGAUUUCGGCUCGGUUUCAGUUCAGUUUUGAUUCUCCUAAUAGUUUUAUUUUGCCUUAUUGACUUCCGGUCAAUGACACUUUUGAAAAAUUUACCAAAAAAAAAAAAAAUGGCCAUAACAAAAUUUCUAUAUGCAAAUAUUUCCUAAACAUUAGGCUAUACUAAAUUUUUUUAAAAGGUAGGGACCCAAACGAUAUUAUCCCUCUACUUCAUCUUCAACCUUCGUCAUUAGGGAUGGCAAAAUCCGAGUUCGGGUCCGGGUUUAGCCAUUUGGGAUCCGGACCCGGAUGAAUAUUUUUUGUACCAGACCCGAAAAUAAACCCGCAUUUUUCCACUUCGAGUCCGGUACGGGUUCAACCCGAAAAAAUUCGGGUUCCCUGACUGCGGGUUUCCAACUCGGAUUAAUGAAUCCAAUUGAAAAAAAAAAACUAAAUUCAACAAAAAAAAUCAAAUAGAAAUACAUAUCCAGGAUUUCAGCAAAUCAAAGAAAAAUUAUUUCAUCUGGAAACUAAUUAACAAAAACAACAAUUUUGUUUGGCUGCCCAGAAUCAGCAACCCAAUGUGGCGGCUCGUUCAAAACAUUAGUGUUUUCAACAGAUUUUGGGGUAGGAAAAGCCAAACCUAUCUAGAACAAUGAAUUUGUAUUUUUGGGGGAGAUGAGGUACCUCACUGGUUUGUUGUGUGCGGUGCAGUGUAUCUUAAAUUUGGGGGAUGUGAGAAGGGGAGAGGGAGUGGUAAUAAUGGUGAAAGGUCAAAACCAAUAGAGAUGUCCUUCAAAAUGAGCUUCACACCUGUAAAACAGUGAAAUAAAGGUUAGAGGUGAAGCUGGGGUAUCCCGGUGUUCACACUCCGACGCUCAAGUUAGCAAACUCAAGCUUUUAUGACAAAGAGAACUGGCUAGCCCUCUGUAAAUUAGGGUUUAAGGUUCAAGGAAACCUAUUUUUUGGAAUGUGAGUGUUAAUGGUGAGUGAGAGACCUCUUGGAGAAUGAAACCUAUGCGCCUUUAUAUAUGGAGUACCUCAGCUGCCACGUGACGUACCCUUUUUGGCUAACGUCAUUUUUCAUUUUUAUGAUUUUUGGGUCGUUAUGUUCAUGUUCGCGGGGUAUCUCAUCUUUUAGAAACGUGGCGCGCGCUGGAGAGUGGUCCAGGGUACCUCUGCAGUAGCUGUCGGGUAGGCGGCUGAGGACCACUGUCCUUGGGACAGUGUCUUUCACUUUUGGUAAAGGUGACAGGCGGUUGUCCUCCCUUUUAACACGACAUUUUUUAUUCCUAAUUAUGACAAAAUCGAAUAAUAUCUUUUAAGAGAUGGAGACGUUUCUCAUGGUGGAUAUUUUCGGAAGAUUCUCUUGCAUCUGAUCAGCCGGGUUCCUCCAGUUACGCAGGGUACCUCAAUUUAUGUGGGGUACCUCUAAUUUUAUGGGGUACCACUAUUUGCGCAGGGUACCUUGAAUCAUGCCAAGUACCUUAGAUUAUGCGGAGUACCUCUAAUUGUGCGGGAUACCUCUAUUGCGCUAGGUACCUUGAAUCAUGCCGGGUACCUCAGAUUGUGCGGGGUAUCUCUAUUUGCGCAGGGUACCUUGAAUCAUGCUGGGCACCUCAGAUUGUGUGGGGUACCUUGAGUCAUGCGAGGUACCUCUAAUCAGGCCAGGUACCCUCUAAUUGUGCUGAGUACCUAUAAUCAUGCAGGGUACCUCUAAUCAAGCCGGGUACCUUUAAUCAUGCGGGGUACCUCUAAUCAGGCCGGGUACCUUAGAUUGUGCGGGGUACCUCUAUUUGCGCAGGGUACCUUGAAUCAUGCAGGGUAUCUCAGAUUGUGCGGGGUACCUCAAAUUGUGUGGGGUACUUCUAAUCGUGCGGGGUACCUCUAAUCAUGUCGGGUACCUCGGAUUGCACUGAAGUUAUUCCAUUCGUUGACACGUGGCGUUAUGCUAUCUUUCUUAUUUUUCCCCCAAACAACAUCCCUCUAGUUUCUUUUGGCAAGAAGUUUUGGAGGCAAAAGAAACUUACAUAAAAAGUAGAAGCGACACGUGGCGAUAUGAUGUUUAGCUCGAUGGGUAACUAAAUAGAGGGCGCCUUUAGGGGUACCCUGAGAACCCAAAAAGGGAAGAUGGGCUCCAUUUCCUCGGAAAUGGCUACCACUUUGGACAUGUUGGAAAGGAUAGAGCUAAUUGAUCAAAAAAAUUUCAUCUAUUUCUAGGGAAGAACACCAAAUACGGGUAGAGGGUAUCGUUAGGGUACCCCACCAUUACCCAUAGUUUGUUUUCUAGUGACUGCCAUGUAUAAAUCGCUCUGGUGAAGGCUUCAAUACAUUCUUUGGGCAUUUAAGAAGCAAUUAUUUGAUUAUCUCGGGAUCCACCUUAUUUAAGGGUAUAUUUCCUUCAUGUACUUUGAAGACAAAAAUAAAAUCACAGGGCUUUCUUCCUUGUAACUUCAGAGGUACCCUCGACAGAAGAAUAUAGUCAACAAUGCUUUUAAGCGUAUCAUGAUCGAGGAAUGGAGUGCUGAUCUGGGGUUGGUGGUGCCAAGAGUGGAGAAGAUGGUAGAUGAACCGGCUAUCUUGAAGGCGAUUAACGAUAGCGGGGCUCUCAACACAUCUUGGUCUGAAGGGGUAAUGCAAAUAAGUUUACGUUGAUUGGAUAUUCAGAAGAAGUAAUACGCCAUUAAAAGCAACAAGUUUUCCAAAAAGCCAACAAAGACAGACACCACCACACCACCCCGCGCUGGAUGAAAAACGAUGAAAGCAUGAUAAGUGACAUCGAGUAAGCCACGUUCUCUCUCUCUCUCUCACUCGCACUCGCACUCGCACUCGCACUCGCACUCGCACACACUGUUACUAAAAUAACCAAAAAUAAGAUUCCCAUCAAAAUAUUUUCAAGUAUCGUUCUUGAAAGUGGCGGCGGCUGAUGAUGAUGAACACAGCCGCGAUUGCGAUUGGCGAAGGCGGCGUUCAGCCCGUAUCACAGCUAGUUAUCGGUCGUGGCAGAAAAGAUAAUGAAACGACGGCUGAUGAUGAUAAUGAUGAUGUUGAACAGCCGCAAAUAUGGGUAAGUGAUGCGACGAUGAUUUGAUGAAGAUGAAGAUGAGCUGAAGAUGGAAUAAGAGUGGAAAUGUUUGUGCGGCUGGGAAAGUGUAAUGAGCUGCUAGGGCACCAUUUGGGUUUUUUUGCUUUCCUAUUUAUAUUAAAAAUAAUUUUUAAAAAUUAAUAUAUAUCCGGGUUCGGGUUUUGGAUGUACGGGUUUACCUAGACCCGGACACAUGCGGAUUCAGCAGCACCGACCACCCACAGACUUGGAUUCGAUUGCAAAGUUGGGACUUAGGAUUUGGGUUUGUGGCUGCUGAAACAGAAAGUGAGAGAGUAGAAAGUAGAGACUAAGAGUGGUGCAAACAUGUGUAAUUUUGUGUGUGUGUCUAUAUAUAUAUAUAUAAUGUGAAAUUACAAAAAUGCCAUUAUAUCAGUUCAAUUCGAAUUUUGUAACUUGUGAUCCAAAAACUGAACCAAACCGAACCAUUUGGUUUGGUUUUUAUAUAUUCAGGUUUUUAAUUUAAAAAAACUAAAUUGAAAUUGAAAGAACUAAACCGAACCGAAUUUUUUUUUUUUUUUUGUUUCGGUUCAAUUAUGCCCAUCCCUACUUAGUAGGCUGGGCAUUAAUUUCUUUGAAUUGUGCUUUCAUUGCAGUAAUCUCCUCCUUGGUAAUAGGUUUAAUUGCUUGUUGAUGCCUCAUUUCCUCUAGUAACAACUAGUCUAACAAGCCAUCAUCGUCAAACAUGUACCUAUUAUAAGCAUCAUCCAGAAUUUGCUCUCUUUGCUUUUUGCUUAGUGUCUUCUUUGCACAAGCUAUUAUCUCAGCUUUUGUAUGAAUAUCUUUAUCUUUUGAUUCACCAGAGGAUGAAUCAUCACCGGAAUAGAGUGGUGAAGGCCCCAUAGAUUAGUGUGAUCAAGUUCUAGUGUAGUUUUGGUUUUGAUUUCAGUAUUAGGAAAAUGAAGCCUAUGAAAUUUACUAAGCUAACAUGCUUCACAAAAGUGCUUUAAUACUUGAAGAGGAUAAAUGAGGAUAAAUAAAUUUAAAUAUACAUUAGAUUUUGAGGGUUGGGAUGUCAAAACUUUUGGUGAAAAAGAGUUAGUACAAGCAUUUUUAUUGAGAUUGAAAAUAUUUCUUAAGAUGAUCAAUACUAGUUACAAAAUUGGAAUGAAAAAAAAAGGCAACAUAGACAAAGGUUUGUUUAUUUGAUUGUAAGAUAGAAAAGACUUGUAUUUAAGUUGUGGAAAGGAUUUGAGCAGCAAUUUAUACAACCUUUUCUCAGCAAAACCUUCCUCUUCAAUGAAUCCUUCACAAAACAAAUAGAUCCAAGAAAUUCGACAAAUAAAUUGUUGUCAAUGGUAAGUUUUGAAAUGCUCAAUAGAUUCUUUGUAAUGGAUGGAACAAACAGUACAUCCUUAAGUAAAAUAUGUCUUAUAUUAUCUUUUUUUAAUUCUUUUUUAAAAAAUAAGUGAAUAAUAGUAUGUCAAUCUCAAAUAUCAAUAUGUACAAUUUUUAUUUGUGUAAGAAUUUGCAUCCAAUAAUCAUCAAUACAUAAUUGUCUUUUAAUUGAAUGGUUCUCACCUCCCUUCCAAACUUUGAAAAGGUAAAAUAAGAUCAAUCAUGUCAGUGGCAAUUAAUAUAAAGAUUACUUUUCUUAUUUGUAGUAACGUCCUCUGAUUAUUUAGCUGAUUUUCAAGCUACACAUUUAUUCCAUUUGAUGUUGAUAUUAGUAAAAUUAAUGUAAUAUUUAAAAAGGAAAAAAAUCCGUCGAGCUAAAAGCCGAGUAUAAAAUUGAACCGGACCCAAACCAGAAACGCACGCCAACAACAUGCUUGCGUUAGUCGGCCCAUGCCCAUAAACCCACCAAGCCCGAUCCAAAUAGAAAAAUGAAUUGGACACCCGAGAUAGCAGAAACAGAUAAGUAACGGUCGUGUUAUCCCCAAUCUCAUAUCUUCAACGGUAUCCAGCCAACAUCUCAAAGUGUUCAAUUUUUUUUUAAGCCAAAAAAAAAUUCAAAAUUUUCAAGCGGAAUCUGGGAAGAUGGCGAUGAAAAGCAAGAUUCUGGUUAUCGGCGGAACCGGAUACAUCGGUAAGUACUUAAGGUGCGUUUGAAAUUGAGGUUGAACAACUAUAACUUUAAAACUACAGCACUAAAAUAUUUGGUAAACACUAACUGUUGUAACUUAAAAGCUAUUUAAUAUAAUUUUUCACUUGUAUAAUAAAAAAUUUAUUAUCUUUAAUAAUUUUGUCAAAAUUAUUAUUUAAAAUAUAUACAGUAAGAGAGAUUGUAACAUUUUCAAUCUUUGGUUUGAUAUUCUGGAAGAAAACGGUUUGCCGUUUACGGAGAAAAUGGCUAACCGUUUAAUUUCAGAGAGCAUGUUUUCUAUUCUAGAGAAAACGACUAACCGUUUGGAGAAAAUGGCUAACCGUUUGGAGAAAACGGCUAACCGUUUUGAGAAAACGGCUAACCGUUUAAUUCCAGAGAGCAUGUUUUCUGUUCUAAAGAAAAUAACUAACCGUUUGGAUAAAACAACCAACCAUUAAUUACAGAGAGUAACUUAUUUGACAUUCUGGAAUAAAACGGCUCACCGUUAUUGAGAAAAUGGCUAACCGUUUAUUUCCAGAGAGCGUGUUUUUGCGUCAACUGGAAAAACGGUUAGCAAGCUUGGAAAUUUCAAUUGUCAAUCGAUGCAAACUCAAACCAAAAGAGUGUUUUUUAAAGAAGUACCAUUUUUAAUGGUUGUAUUCUUUCAAAUAAACAUCUUCUUUAUUAAAGAUAAACAAACUAUUAUAUCAUAAUCAGAUUUUGCAGGUUUCAUAUAUGUUCUGGAAAUACAAUCUUAUUUUCUAGAGAUUGUAUUCAGGAUUUGAUAUAUCUUAGGGGUAAUUUGCCAUUAAAACUCUAUAGCAAACCAAGAUUGGUGAGGGCAAAUAAAACCUUAAAGAAAAGUGUGCAAACACGUCUCAAAUCCUAAGAAAUUUUCUUUGUUCUUUGCCUCCAUAUUCUUAAAAUUUGAAAAUUCACCCAUCAAUCUUUAAGGUUUUAUUUUGAUGCAAAUAGAGGCUGAGAAGAGUUUGACGCCAUUUCUUAAUCCUAGUGUCCAUCUCGAUCGUUUUGAUGGAACAAAUUUCACUCGUUGGAAGGGAAAAUUGUUCUUUCUUCUUACUGUUCUUAAAGUGACAUAUGUUCUUGAUCCGAAAUUGGAACCAUUUCCAGAACCAAGAGAAGAUGAUACCGAAGUUGUUAAGGCUGCAAGGAAACGUCGUGAAGAUGAUGAAUUGAUGUGCCGGGGUCACAUACUCAAUACGCGUUCUGACAGGUUAUAUGAUCUCUACAAUUUUAUGACUUCUCCGGUGGAAAUUUGGAAUGCUCUUAAGUACAAAUACAAAACGGAGAAAGAAGGUACUGACAAAUUCCUUGUCUCUAAAUAUUUUGAAUUUAUUAUGAUAGACACACAAUCCAUUCUUGAUCAAAUACAUGAGUUAUAAAUUAUUGUUGCUAAGCUUCGAGAGUUAAAAGUUGAAAUUUUUGAAUCAUUUCAAGUUGGGACUAUUAUUGCUAAAUUGCCUCAAAGUUGGAAUGAUUAUAGAAAGAAACUCCUUCAUAGUAAAGAGAACAUAACUUUAGAAGAAUUGCAAAAACACUUGAUAAUUGAAGAAGAGACUAGGUCUCGCGAAUCCAAGGAUAAGCAUGAUUCUACUAAAGUUAAUGUUCUUGAAGCUAGUAAAUUCUCAAAGAAUUUUAAAGUCAAGAAUGACAAGAAAUUUAAGAAGUCCAGCACACAAAAGUUUUCUGGAAAUUGUUUCUUUUGUGGUAAGAAAGGUCAUCGCCAAAGUGAUUGCAGAUUCAAGAAAAAAAAAAGGAAGAAGUGGAUUCCUAUAAAGCUAAUGUUAUUGAAAACAAAUCUGAAAAGAUUUGUGCUAUGGUUUCUGAAAUGCAAAUUGGCAUGAUUAUCGAAACCAAUAUGGCUGAAACUAAGUCCUAUGAUUGGUGGCUCGAUUCGGGUACAACAAUUCAUGUUUGUAAUGAUAAGAAAUUUUUAUUAUCAUACAAAGAAGAAACGGAAGGACAAAUGGUUCUCAUGGGGAACAAUAAUGCAGCCAUAGUAGCAGGGAAAUGAGUAGUUGAGAUCAACUUCACUUCUAGAAAGAAAGUCACAUUGUAUAAUGUCUUUCAUGUACCUUUCGUUAGGAAGAAUCUUAUUUCUGCUAGUUGUAUGUGUAAGCAUGGGCUUAAGAUUGUGCUUGAGGGUAAUACUUGUAUUAUCUCAAAGAAUGAAUUAUUUGUUGGGAAAUGGUAUUCUUGUGAUGGAAUGUACAAACUCAACAUUAAUAAUAAUAAUAUCAACUUAGCUUAUAUUGUUGAGUCUUGUGAUGUUUGGCAUGCUAAAUUAGCACAUUUGAAUUUUAGAUCUUUGAAAUACAUGUCUGAGCAUGGUUUGAUUAAUUGCAAUGAUGUUAAAGGUCAUAAGUGUGAAAUCUGCAUCCAAGCUAAAUUAACUAAGAAACAUUUUCUUAAAGCCGAACGAAAUACUCAAAUAUUGGACUUAAUAUAUACCGAUAUUUGUGAGUAUAAUGGCGUUUUAACAAGAGGAGGUAAGAAGUACUUUAUCACUUUUAUUGAUGAUUGUUCUAGAUACACUUAUGUGUAUUUACUUAGAACAAAAAAUGAAGCUUUUGAUAAAUUUAAAAUUUUCAAAGCUGAAGUUGAGAACUAAAAAGAUAAGAAAAUCAAAAUGGUUCGUAGUGAUAGAGGUGGUGAAUAUUUCUCAAUUGAAUUUAAUAAUUAUUGUGAAGAAUUUGGAAUUAUUCACCAAAGAUCAGCUCCAUUUACUCCUCAACAAAGUGGUUUGGCUAAAAGAAAGAAUAAGAUCUUCACAGAUAUGAUAAAUUCCAUGAUCCUUAAUGCAAAACUACCAAAUAAUUUGUGGGGGGAAGCAUUACUCACUGCAUGUCAUAUUCAUAACAGAAUUACAUAUUUGAAAACACAUAUAUCUCUUUAUGAAAUUUGGAAAGGAAGAAAACCAAACUUGAUGUAUUUAAGGGUCUAGGGUUGUUUAGCUUUUUAUAAAAUACAUGAUCCUAAAUCAUCAAAGUUAUGUGCUAGAUGUAUAAAGAGUGUUUUCGUAGGAUAUGCUGAAAAUUCCAAGGCUUAUAGGUUGUUAGAUUUAGAUUAUAAUGUGAUUGUGGAAUCUAGAGAUGUUGAAUUUAUUGAGAAUAAAUUUCAACAUGAUUCUAAUAUUGAAUUAGAAUCAAUUAUUGAUCAACCAUGUGUUAAUACUCCUGUUACCUCCACUAACAAUAAUAAAAGGAAAGACUCUAUGACAUCUUUCGAACCAAUGAGGAGUCAAGGUGAAAAGAAAGAAAAGAGUUUAGCUCCGAAUUUUAUUUCAUCACAAGCACUACUCUUCUUGGUUGAAGGGGAUAGAAAGAAUGUACUUAACAAAGUACCAUUGUUGUUAAAUAUUGAAAAAGAUCCAAAGACAUUUAGCGAAGCUAUGUCUUCUAGAGACGCUUCUUUUUGGAGAGAGGCGGUAAAUGAUGAAAUUGAUUCGAUUAUUUCGAAUCAAACAUGGGUCUUGGUUGAUCUUCCUCCAGGAUCUAAACCAAUUAGCAGCAAAUGGGUAUUUAGAAGAAAGUACAAUAGUGAUGGUUCUUUGCAAACUUUUUAGGCUAGAUUAGUAGCCAAAGGGUUUAAGCAAAGAAAUGGUAUUGGUUAUUUCGAUACAUAUGCUUCGGUAGCAAGGUUAACUUCUAUAAGAGUGCUAUUUGCAAUUGCUUCAUUGAAUAAUUUGUAUGUGCAACUAAUGGAUGUUAAAACCGCUUUUCUUAAUGGUGAUCUUGAUGAAGAAAUCUAUAUGGAACAACCUGAGGGAUUUGUUUUACCAGGAAAUGAGAAAAAAGGUAUGCAAGUUAGUCAAAUCACUUUAUGGUUUAAAGCAAGCACCAAAACAAUGGCAUGAGAAGUUUGAUUCGGUAAUUUUAUCUCAUGGUUUUAAGCAUAAUAAUGCUGAUAAAUGUAUAUAUUUUAAAGUUACGAAUGAUUUUGGUGUGAUUAUAUGCUUGUAUGUUGAUGACUUGCUUAUCUUUGGAACAAAUAUGCAAGGAGUAGAUGAUACAAAGAAGUAUUUAACUUCACAAUUUAAGAUAAAAGAUCUUGGUGAAGUAGAUACUAUCUUAGGUGUCAAAGUGAAGAAACAUAGUGGGGGUUACUCGUUGUGUCAAUCUCAUUAUAUAGAGAAAGUGCUUCUUAAAUUCAAUUAUUUGAAAUUUAAAGAAGCUAAUACCCCAUAUGAUUCUAGUAUUAAAUUAUUAGAGAAUUCAGGCCGAGUAGUAGCACAACUAGAAUAUGCUAGUGCUAUUGGUAGCUUGAUGUAUGCUAUGCAUUGUACGAGGCCUGAUAUAGCAUUUGCAGUUUGCAAAAUGUCAAGAUUCACGAGUAACCCUAGUGUUGAACACUGGAAAUCAAUUGGUAGAAUACUUGGUUAUCUUAAAAGGACCAUUAAUUUGGGUUUGUUUUAUAAUGAUUAUCUUGAAGUACUGGAAGGAUAUUCAGAUGCUAGUUGGGUAACCAAUACAAGAGAUAAUAAAUCCACUUCUGGUUGGAUUUUUACAAUUGCUGGAGGAGCAGUUUCUUGGGCUUCAAAGAAACAAAUGUACAUAACUCAUUCAACAAUGGAAAGUGAGUUUAUAGCACUCGCAGUUGCAAGCAAGGAAGUAGAAUGGCUGAGAAAUUUGUUGUUUGAUAUAAUGUUAUGGCCACAACCGAUGCCAUCUAUUUCUUUGUACUGCGAUAGUGAAGCUACAUUGUCUAGAGCUUAUAAUAAAGUGUAUAAUGGAAAGUCUAGACAUAUUAGCUUGAGACAUGAAUAUGUGAAACAAUUAAUAGCAGAUGGUGUUAUUAAUAUUGUUUAUGUUAGGACUAAUAAGAACCUAGCGGAUCCUUUAACAAAAGGUCUUACAAGAGACUUAGUUAAGGAUACAUCUUUUGGAAUGGGAUUGAAACCUUUAAAUAAUAAAGUCACCAACGACGAUAACCCAACUAUGUAGUAGUUGCACCGCUACUCCAUAGUUAAAUGGAUAAUAACAAGUUGUUGUUAUGUGACUGGUUUGGCACCGAGUAAUAAAUAAUCACAUUCGAGAUAUUCGGUGCAAAUAGCUACGAGGUUGAGGUUGAGUAUUUACUCUUAAUGAAGUUCAAGUCUUAUACUAGCUAAAGACAUGAUUUGAAACUUCACCUAAGUGAACAUAAGAAAUGGUGCCGUUUCUAACAAGAUCAUGGUUUAAUCUAGUAAAUGUUUAUGAAUCCAAGAUAGAGCACAAGGCCGGAAUAGUGCUAAAUAUUGGAACACAACUUUGAAAAUCUGGGAUAGCUUAUAUGUGAUGUAUCUCCGGUAUUUACUUAAGAGACAAAGUUUAAUGCUUAGCACACUAUUGUUUUGUAAAUGCUUUGAAAUACACUCACUAAUUAAAGGUUAAAAUCGAAAGAUAUCGUUUUGUAUGUAUAAGUUUAUCAUUAAUAAAUAUGAAAAAUAUUACAAUCUAGUGGGGGAUUGUAAGAGAGAUUGUAACAUUUUCAAUCUUUGGUUUGAUAUUCUGGAAGAAAACGGUUUGCCGUUUAUGGAGAAAACGGCUAACUGUUUAAUUCCAAAUAGCAUGUUUUCUGUUCUAGAGAAAACGACUAACUAUUUGGAGAAAAUGGCUAACUGUUUAAUUUUAGAGAGCAUGUUUUCUGUUCUAGAGAAAACGGCUAACCGUUUGGAUAAAACGGCCAACCGUUAAUUACAGAGAGUAACUUAUUUGACAUUCUGGAAUAAAACGGCUCACCGUUAUUGAGAAAACGGCUAACCAUUUAUUUCCAGAGAGCGUGUUUUUGCGUCAACUGGAAAAACGGUUAGCAAGCUUGGAAAUUUCAAUUGUCAAUCGAUGCAAACUCAAACCAAAAGAGUGUUUUUUUAAAGAAGUACCAUUUCUAAUAGUUGUAUUCUUUCAAAUAAACAUCUUCUUUAUUAAAGAUAGACAAACAAUUAGAUCAUAAUCAGAUUUUGCAGGUUUCAUAUAUGUUUUGGAAAUACAAUCUUAUUUGCUAGAGAUUGUAUUCAGGAUUUGAUAUAUCUUGGGGGUAAUUUGCCAUUAAAACUCUAUAGCAAACCAAGAUUGGUGAGGGCAAAUAAAACCUUAAAGGAAAGUGUGCAAACACGUCUCAAAUCCUAAGAAUUGUUUUUUGUUCUUUGUCUCAAUAUUCUUAAAAUUCGAAAAUUCACCCAUCAUAUACAUACUACAUAUUAUUAAUUUUUGUUUUAUAACUAUAGUUUUUUUUUUACCGCAACUGUAGUUUAAAAACUACAGCACCUCAAUCCCAAAUAAGACCUUAGUAGAAGUGAGCGCGAAAGCCGAUCACCCAACAUUCGCGCUUGUGAGAGACUCCACUCUCUCCACUCCUUCCAAAUCCAAAAUCCUCGACCGUUUCAAAAAUCUCAGCUCGACCGUUUCAAAAAUCUCAGCGUCAAUUUAGUUCAUGUGCGCCACUCUUUUAGCUUUCCAAUUUUCCCGCCAAUUUUCUUUUAUUGUGAUUAAUUAAUUAAUUAAUGUAAAGAUUUUAUAUUAUAAUUUUGUUUGCAGGGAGAUCUAUACAGCCAUGAGAGCUUGGUGAGUACAAUAAAGCAAGUGGAUGUGGUGAUAUCAGCGAUAGGUCGCACUCAAUUAGCUGAUCAACUCAACAUUAUCGCAGCAAAUUGCGAUAACUAAGUACUUGGGAUUUUAAAGAAGCUGGAAAUGUUAAGGUUCUGAUUAACUUAAGUAAAUGCGUUAACUAAUUACUUGGGAUUUUAAAUUCAAAUGUGUGAAUUGUUCUAAAAAAUUAUUUAUGUUUAUUAGUCAGAGAUUCUUUCCUUCAGAAUUUGGAAAUGAUGUUGAUCGCGUGCAUGUCGUUGAGCCAGCAAGAACAUCAUUUGCCACCAAGGCUAAAAUCCGCCGAGCUGUUGAGGAUGAAGGAAUUCCAUACACCUACGUAGCUACGUAGCUUCCAAUUUCUUCGCUGGUUUGUAUCUUUCCAGUUUCUCACAGCCUGAAGCCACAGCUCCUCCAAGGGAUAAAGUGGUCAUCGUAGGUGAUGGAAAUGCAAAAGGCAAAGCGCUUCUGGAUACAUUUACUCUGUACACGCAAUGUGUGGUUACUGUUUGGAGAUAAAAAAGGAGAUUAAUUAAUAAAGAAAAUGAAAUUAUUGAGGGAUUUGCUGAAGAGUUGCGUGCACUCCUCAUUUUUCUCCACCACUCAUCUUACUUGCAAAAUGCAAUGACCAAACUAUCCUCGCCAAAGCCUAGACAUUUACUUGUGUUCAAAGGCCAUUUAAGGGAGACAAGUACAAAAAGUUAUAAAGGAUAGUAAGCAGAAGAAGAAAAUGGAAAGGGGAGGGGGGGGGGGGGAGAAUAAAAAAGGGGAGUGGGGCGUUAUCUAGGGAGGAUUUUUAUUUUUAUUUUUUUUCCUCUCUUCUCCAUGGCAUCUCUUUCUCUCUUUCUCCCACUAAGAAAUUCUUUCUUUUACACUCUAUUUUACUUUUAUGCAAAUUACGCAAAAAACUUUUGGUUUUAAGGCAAUGUUUAUUAAGCCACGUGAAUUUGAAAAAGCAUGAAUAAGGGGAUGAUUUUAACACAUUAAUUCACCAACAUUAAUUGGAAAAGAUCAGUUGCCACUUCGAAUCAGAGUAAUUUCUUCGGCAAUAGCCAAAUAUUGAUAUUUGAUCUUGACACUGUAGUUAAAUCAAUGUAACUGAUUUUGUCAUUUGAUCCCCAGUAAUUUUUAACAAGGAAGACGAUAUUGGGAUUAAUUCUAUCAAAGCGGUGGAUGAUCCAAGAACACUGAACAAAAUACUUUACAUCAGACCCCGUUGCAAUAUCUACUCAUUUAAUGAUCUUGUGUCUCUGUGGGAGGAAAAGAUUGGCAAAGCCCUUGACAGGGUCUAUGUUACAGAGGAACAACUUCUGAAAAACAUUCAAGGUUAGUUAGAACUAUCACUUUAUCAAGUGGAUAGAUGUAACUGACCGAUAAUGGAAAUUUUUUUCCUUCUCCAAAAUGCGAUAGAAUCUAAUCGGUUUCAACAAUCUCAAGAACACCUAUUCAUGGUUGUGUUGUUUGAAAUCUGUAUGUAUCAGUUUUCUUUCUAGAUCUCAGAUUGCUCGCAAGGAUGUCAAGUUUUGAUGAUGCUUGCCUGUUUUCCUGUGUUUACAGAAGCUUCAUAUCCACUCAAUAUGAUAUUACCUAUUGGGCACUCUGCCUAUGUCCUGGGAGAUCAGACCAACUUCGAAAUUGAACCUUCAUUUGGAGUAGAGGCAACAGAGCUUUAUCCAGAUGUCAACUACACUACUGUGGAUGAGUACCUCAACCAGUUCAUAUAAACCUUCUGAGAUGAGCAGCAGGAUCCUAACAAAAAAUUGGGUGGUUUCCAUCCCUGAUUCUAUGGUAUAAAGAUAGCGGCUUUCCCUGCUUUUGCCAGUUCAGUGAAGUUUGUUAGAUGAUGUUAUUUAUACUAUACUAGCAAAGAUCAAGUUGCCUUUCUUGUCAAGAAGCCAAGCUCUGGCAUUGGUUUAUGCUAGUUUUUCACACUAAUAUUGGUAUUCACUAAUUUUUUUUUUUCAUUUCACACCGCCAUCAUCAGUGGAGAUGCCCUCUUGUAUGGUACUAACUUUGAUUUUCCUUAUGCUUCACUUGCUGUCUCUGCAGAUUCGUAAAAGAUCAUUCAUGGAUAAGAUCAGAACAUCAAUUUGAUACAGUAUGCAUUGAGAACUCCCACAUGAUUCUUGUUCUAGUUCUGGUUAGACAUGAAACAUGUUACAGUUCCAUAACUUGAGACAUUGUCAUUCAACAAUUAUCAUCACAUUAAAACAGUGGCCAAUCCCUAACAGCUACCUUUUGACUCUUCACAUUUUUUUUCUGCAUUUUAUGCGCAUUAAUUAUCUAGACCUAGACUUAUUACACUUCUCAGCCUGGCCCGUUGGACAGUGAGUGAUGAAACAAAUUUUUUUUCAUGUUUAUUACUUUUUUUGCAUUCAAAAUGAUAAAACUGCAGAGGUUGUUGCAUGCACGUCAUUUGUUAGUAGGGGUAUCAAUUUAUGAACGUAUGAAGUAUCUCUUCUGCACCGGCAUCCUCCUUAACUGUCAGUAGGAUCACAAUAAGUCGACCAACCAUCUACCGUAUGGAUUAUCUAUAAAUUGAAAUUGGUGUGUAUUAUGGAUCUGUCACUCUGCUGCUUCUGUUUUCUUUUCUAUUUUUACCAAGAAAGAAACAUUGUUAAAACUGAAUGGUUGUUAUCUCGUCUUGUUGUAAUGUUGUGUAUGCUUUCUAGAAAAUAAUGAAGUGCCAAAUAUGAAAAUACUAGUGGCUACCUUACCAUCCUUAAUAAGUUGUCUGAUUGUCACCGUCAACAAUCACUCUCAGCAACUCAUAAUCCAUUUAAGCAUAUUAUAAAAUAAUCAAUUUUGUAUUUGCACCAACUUUUAGUUUUAAAUGACAAUUUCGUUGAUCCCCACACUUCUGUACUAAUCAAAUCCACUGAAACUGGACUUUUUUUUCUUUUUUUUUAUAAUUACAUCGAUUGCAUUGGCUAUUGCAGGGAAAAGACUGCCUCUACAGGGAACUAAACUUUCAGAAUUGAUCUUAUGAGGGUUUGAAUAUGCUCUCGUACUAGGUCAAUGGCCUAUUGGUUCGAGACCAUUCACAAAGAAAGAAAUGAGUUUUGCUUGUAUAAAUGAAAGAAAUCCAAAUGAUAACUAAUGUAUAGUGGUACAUGAGAAAAAUAAUUUCAGCCCCUGUGUAAAGUCAAAAAGAGAAAAUAUUAAAAGAAAGGAUAAUGUCAUUGAGUUCGGUGAAGUGAAAGAAAAUAAAAAACAUGGGAUUUAGUCAAACUUAGUGUCCCAAUCAGCAGAAAAAGGUUUUAGAAACUCACCUCAAGUUAAGCCAACUAUUAGGAGCUUUAUUUAAUCAUGGCUUUCUAAUGUAUAGUACUCCAAUACUAAACGAGGGCUACCUCUACGCUUGCAAAUGUAAAUGAAAUUGAGUUCGUGACGCACAAUGAAGUGAGCAAAAUGAGUUGAGAUCUGAGAAUAUAUUAAAGAAAAUAUGAAUCAAUGAAUUUUGGUUAAAAAAAACAAAUGCUGGUUCUUCAAGACCUGCGUGUAUUGUGUAAGUUUUGUUAGGAGAAGGAAAGCAUUUUGGUCUAAAACGCACUAAAUCGGAUUCAUUUGCUUGAUAUCUAAUAAGGGUGAAUUAACCACUCGCCCACAGCAAUUCAAGUACCCAAAAAAGUUUUGUGGGGGCUAAAUUUCUUCUUUAAUUAUAAAAAAUAAUUGAACGGAGGAUAAAAAUUUAGGCCAUGUAUAACAAUAACUAAUAUAAACUAGUCCUAAUAAUAGUAUAAUUGUAAAUAUCAGUUGUAGUCUCAUACAAUAUAAGUUUAUAGAUUAUAAUAUCGGCAUAAAAAGAAAAAUGAUAUCUGACGGUCAAUCAAUAAAAGGAUAAAAACUUUGGAGUAACAUACCACAAAGUCAAUGUAGCUGGACAGUGAAUAUAAUAUGUAAACAAAUUUAAAUGGGAUAAUACCAUACGGUACAUACAUAACAUUUUAAAACUGAAUUAAAAAAAUAAAAUUAAAACUGAAUUAGAAUUCGUAUGUGUAUCCAGCUACCUUGCCACAGUUGUAAGGUACCCUAACUUUGCAACAAUUUCAUCCUUCGUGCAUUCGGUCACAAAGUCCAAAUUAGGCACGUUUAAGAAUCGAACUGAAAAACUAAAAAAAAGAAUCCGGCGAUAUUUGCGAACCGGAAACGAGCCAGCGUUAUGCUUAUGUCAUUUCAGAGAUAUCAACAGUCGUGCUUUCAGUCCUUAAACCUCAAGGGCAUUUUCGUCCUUUCACUCAAGCGUGAAACUGCAUGUAAGAACUGCUUCGCUUACACGCUCCAUGCACAUUUAAAGGCACCACUGUCGGAUAAAAAAUAUCCAUCCAUUUGAUCAUUUCAAAACAAAACGAAAAAAAAAAUCUCAGUAAUUGAACUGAACGAGUCUCAGAAAUGGCAUCGAAAAGUAAGAUUCUAUUCAUCGGCGGGACAGGGUAUAUCGGUAAAUUCACUGUCGAAGCGAGCGUAAAAGCCGGCCACCCGACGUUCGUGCUCGUGAGAGAAUCCACAAUCUCUGGUCCUUCCAAAUCUCAACUCCUCGAUCACUUCAAAAACCUCGGCGUCAAUCUCGUCAUAGUGCGUUUUCAUUUUUCUCUUUUCUUAAUUUUUUAUUCCGAUCAUUUUUACACGUCGAAGUGUAGCAUCUACUACUUAAUAUACAUAAUGAUAUUAUUAUUUUUUAAUUUUUUUGGGUUGCUGUUAUUAUUAUGCAGGGAGAUGUGUUGAAUCACGAGAGUUUGGUGAAGGCGAUUAAACAAGUGGACGUGGUGAUAUCAACGGUCGGUCACACUUUAUUAGCUGAUCAGGUCAAGAUUAUUGCUGCCAUUAAAGAAGCCGGUAACGUUAAGGUAUAACAUAAUUAAUAUAAAUAUCUUGAAUUCCGAUCAGGAUUGUGCACUCGCGAACACGUGGUGAUUUAUUCUUGGUGUGGAGCUCGCUGUAGAGUAGAGCUCCCAGUUCAGCUAAUAAACACCCCGUCACAUGCGCAAUUGCGCCUCAAAAUAAUUUAAUUGAUUAAUUAAGGAUAAAUACCAAUGGCAUGAAAGCAAUUAAAAUUAGUUGAUGUUUAUAAAUUAUUUAUUACUCAGAGAUUCUUACCAUCGGAAUUUGGAAAUGAUGUUGAUCGAGUUGAAGGCGCCGUAGAGCCAACAAAAUCGACGUAUGACGUAAAGGCGAAAAUCCGCCGAGCCGUUGAGGCAGAAGGCAUUCCGUACACUUACGUAGAAUCUUAUUGUUUUGAUGGCUAUUUCCUCCCCAAUUUGUUGCAGCCUGAGGCCACUGCCCCCCCUAGGGAUAAGGUUGUCAUCUUAGGCGAUGGAAAUCCAAAAGGUAAUAUAAUUUAAUUAAGCUCUGUUUGUUUGGUAUGUAUUUCGGUGUUAAUGUUAUUGUCUGUUGUACAAUGGAUGGUCUUGCUUGGUACUGUUGUUGGAGAGCUGCAGUGUUUUGAUAAACACCUCUAUCCUUAGCUUUCAAGUUAAGUUGAUUUUAUACAACACUUGUUUAAUUCAAAACUUGUAAUAUUCUUACUACUUUGAUAAAAAAUAUUACGAUUAAAGCAUUAAUGGCACCAUAAUACGAAAUGAACCUUAAGUGGUCAUUAUAGAUUUUAAGAUAGAGUUUUAAGUGAUUACCAGAUACUUUAGCUGCUGAACCGCCACAUCAUGGUUGCCACACAACAAUUUCAAACAGAACCUAAAUAACUUCAUUGCAAAACAGUUAAAUGAAUCUAACUUAGUUUCGUCGUUUGAUUUUCAGCUGUUUUUAACAAGGAAGAUGAUAUUGGAACCUACACUAUCAAAGCGGUUGAUGAUCCGAGAACCUUGAACAAAAACUUUUACAUUCAGCCUCCCGGUAAUAUUUACUCAUUCAAUGAUCUUGUGUCUCUGUGGGAGAGAAAGAUUGGUAAAACCCUCGAAAAGGAGUAUGUUUCAGAGGAGCAGCUCCUAAAGAAUAUUCAAGGUUGGUUAAAACUCUCUUUUUUAAAUGUAUUAAAGAGAGCCGUAUAUUCUCUGCCGUAAAUGUCAUUGAUCCUGUCUUCUCCAAAAUGUUGCAGAAGCUGCACCUCCACACAAAGUGAUAUUAUCAAUUUAUCACUCUGCUUUCGUGAAGGGAGUUCAAACCAACUUCAAGAUUGAACCAUCUUUUGGAGUUGAAGCCUCGCAGCUUUAUCCUGAUGUCAAGUACACUACAGUUGAUGAGUACCUCAAUCAGUUUGUGUAACCCUUCGCUGUUUCCAGCUGCAGCUUGCAGGAUCUUGGACUGUUGGUAAAUAAAUAAUUGGCUUGUUGCCAUCUUUGGUUUUAUAUGUAAAAAUUAUGGUUGUUGGCCUUACUUUCUUCUGGUUGUCCAUGGAAUUUGUUAGACCAUAUUAUGUUUGCUAUGUCAGUGAUCAAAUGAAGUAGACCAUGUACUUGAUUUGAGAGUAGUAGUUAUAAAGCCAUCAUGAUCAGGUGGGUGCGUGGGUUGGGCUUCUAUUAGGGUGCGUGUGUUGGGGGGCUUCAGGGGCUUGUGAUAUGGGUUCGACAGCCCCUAACGGGCAGUCAUUAUAAAAAUGAUUAUAG